This 76711-nucleotide long non-coding RNA is filed under the name Populus tremula. Its description in RNAcentral is "long non-coding RNA (PTRE_LNC002990)". The record is from RNAcentral. Lineage: Eukaryota; Viridiplantae; Streptophyta; Magnoliopsida; Malpighiales; Salicaceae.
UGCAUGCAAUUAGUGAAAAUCUCCGUCCACCACGGAAAUAUCCGAAAUCAUCUAGAUCACAGAAGUUGCAUUCCAAAGUUUCCAAAUCAUAUAAUCUGGAAACUUCAUCUCCUCUAACUGAGAGAACAACUUCAGGUUUCUGAUGAAGCUUGAGGAACUGUAAUCGUAAGAGUUGGGGUAAAAUACCCGACCGUAAAACACGCACCCCACUUCCAUCAAGAUUAAGAUACCUGAGAUACUUCAGCCUUUUCAUUCCCUUGGGCAAAUCUUCAAGUCCAGUGUAACUGAGAUCCAACUUCUCCAAUGCCUUAAGCUUUGCUAAUGAUGGUACAGAACUCAGCUUUGCACACCAUCCCAGCAACAAUGCAGUGAGUCUCGUCAGAUGACAAAUAGAAUCCGGCAACUUCUCUAUAUCUGUGUCGGAAAGAUCAAGAACCUUGAGUCCGAUGAGAUGCUGGAAAAAAGAAUCCUCCACCAAAUUUAAUUUGUAGUUUCUGCAUAACAAUAAUGUUGAGAGACGGGGGCACAUUGGUGAAAAGCCUGUUGGAAUAUUCUCGAUUCUAUUUUCCAUGAGUGAAACUCUUAACAGAUCCUCUCUCCACAAUUUUACACCGGGUAAUUCUGUUAGCUGUGCACCUGCUUGAACCAUAGCCCCCCCACUUUCGUUCAAUAUUUUCCAAGCCAUAUCCCAAAUCAAAUCAUGCAUCUUGACAUAUCUGUAAUCUUCAUCGUCCCUGGAACCUUCUAAUAAGCUGGCAUCUUCAAGUUCAUCAAGCAUGGUAUGGCCCCUAUCAAAUCGUGCAUCCCUACUCCCCAUUUCUUUGACUAUACCCUCGUCAAUCAAAUACUCUAUCAAGUCCUCUCUCCAGAUGAUCUUGCCUUUUGGAAAUAGUGUGAUAUGUAAGAAGCACUCUUGAAGUGCUGAAUCGUUCAACUGAGCAUAGCUAAAUUUCAAUACUCGAAAUACAUUGGCUUCCAUCUCACCUGGUCCAACUUCUAAUCUUCUCAGUUUUAGCAAUGCAUCUCUCCAACGAUAUUUACCAUCCACUCCCUUCAUGCUUCGAGCCAUUGUCAUGAUUCCAAGGGGCAAACCAGCACACUCCUUCACAAUAGACUCUGCGAUCUCAGGAUAAAGUGUACCACCACGCCCUAAUCUGUCUAUGAACAGAUCCCAAGCCUCACCCUCAAAAAGAGGCUCCACUUUGAUUAUCCUUUGGCAAUCCAUUUUUCGACAUAUCUCCAGUGAUCUCGUUGUGAGAAUCAACUUCCACCCGUCUGUUCUAAGAGGUAUUCCCACUUCAUCAGGAAGAAAAUGACCCCACAAAUUAUCAAGAAUUAAAAAACCUUUUUUUUUCACAUUCAACUCUGUCAACAGCUCCCCAGUUCUCACCAUCGCAUCAUUUUCAUCCAAAGGUUUUAAAUCCAAAACCUCAGCAAUGCGACCCUGCAAUGCAUGAAUGCUAAAAUCUUGUGACAAGUAAUCCAACGAACAGGAUGAAACAUGCCUAGUUUCUCGUGAAGCUGAUUAUAGAUAUGUGUAGCCAAAGCUGUCUUUCCCACCCCCCCCAUCCCAUAAAUGCCAAUGCAUGAGACCUCAUCAUUCAACAACCAGACCAGACAUCAUUCAUGUUUCUUUCCAUAGCUUGGCCCACUAGCUUUGUUGUCGGCAAUACAUAUCUUCCAGUCCUACGUUUCUUAUGUACAGGCCUUUUAGAAGAGGGCCGUCUCUCAACAACAGAUUGCAUCAAUUCCGGACUCAUGGUCAGUCUACCAGUUCUUAACUCAAAAUCCCUCAUUGAUGAGGAUGAGAUGUUAUUCAAGUUCAUUUCAAAUGACUGAUGUGCUUGCUCUGUUCUUUGUCUAGUCUCGGGUUCAUCUGGCAUAAGAACGACAGGAGCUCGAGGUUCCUUGACAAGCUCAGUCUCCCCCCCAAUCAGAAAACCCUUCCGUCCUCGUUCAUCCGAAAGAGGUUGUUCUUCUUGUUCCAUUUCUAAGCCCCGCAAAGCAGUUGAAGCUGCAUUAAUUCCCUCGUUAUUGCUUGAACUUGGCACAGUCUAUCUACAGGCAUUUUAGAACAGCUUCCACUGCUUAACUCAACUUCCCUCGUCAAUGAAGAUGUGAUGUUAUUCAUAUCCGUUUCAAAUGCUUGAACUGCUGGCUCUAUUCCCAAUCCAGUCUCAGGUGCAUCGGGCAUAUGCAUGCUAGGAACCAUGGUCUCCUCAGGAAGCACAAUCUCUUCCCAAGUCAAGCUAUCCAUCCAUGAAAAAUCAUCCAAAAGAGAUUGUCCUUGUUCUUGCAUUUCUAAAUCUUGCGCAGGAUCCGAAUCUGCAGUAACUAUUAUAUUAUUGCUUGAACUUGGCAUGCUCCCACGCAUUCUGUCAGGAAGCAUAUCAAACGCUGCUCGUUGAACAUCUGGAGUUACUUUUUCACAAAUUUUAACACCACCACCUCCAACUCUUGCCAGAUGAUAUUUCAUCCUUGUAGUGGAAGUGCUUCCAGCCAAUGUCCUCUCACAAAAAAUGCACUUCAAUAAACCACCAUCCACUUUCUCAAAAUAACGAAAUGGAUCGCUUCCUCCAGCCAUUUUUUCUUCUGUGUCUCUACAUACAGACAUAACAAAGAACUUUCAGAAUAUUGAAUUAAAAUGGAACUUAAACUAAUUGAAAAAAAGAAGAAGCUAAGUUUAAGAUAAAAAGAAAAAUUGAUUACAUGUGUUUCACUGUCUAAACCAAAGUCAAGUUAAACCACUCCAAAGAUCAUAGUGUUCUUUUACUUUCCCAAUAAUUCUACAACUGGUCAUAUCAGUAAUUUAAUAACCAGUAUGUUUCUUUUUGCUUAGAAGAAUCAAAGUACAUGAGUUGGAAAAGAAAUGGUAUGAAAUUAGAGCUAAAAUUAAUCAAACUUAAUUACCUGAACAGCAGAUGCAGCAAGAUGUUAUCCAAUUAUUUGAUUAAAUCAGAAGAAAGAAGAUGGACGGGGAAGAGUAAGUGUGUUGGAGACGCGUGAUAGAGCUUCGGCUUGUGUGGUUGUGGAUAAAGAUAGAUUCAGACAGUCAGAGAAGCAGAUGACAGUGAAAAAAAGUAAAAUGGAUUUCUGUCGUUCAUGGAUGUCAUAUGGACAUGUUGUUCUUCCAGGAAGCGGAUCCGGCGAGGGGAGCUCUAGUGAAGGCGUGGGGGUAGGCGGUGGCUGAUGAUAGUCUCCUCGUGUGGUGGACAGCACGCCACCUUUGCAAACGAUGAGAAAGAGCACGAUCCACCACAAAACAGCAGAAGAGAAAGCAGUAGGCCGAGAGAAGAAAAGGGAGCAGAGUUGACCGAGAGAGAAGUAGAGCUGACCUAGAGAGCGGUAUCUUCACAAAUGGAGAGGUUUGUGUUUUCUGUAGCUGGUAGAAAAAAGAUAGAGAGGAUGAUAGGCAACUGAGAUGGAGAGUACCUGUUUGUUUGCUGGUUUAAAAGAAAGAAGUUAUUUUCUCGAAAAUAAAUUAUUUAUAUAUAUAUAUAUAUAUAUAUAUAUUCAAGAAAACUUAUUUAGAAAAUAUUUUUCAAUACUAGGUUAUAUCAUAAAAAUAGUAAAAAAUAGUUUAUUUAUUUAUAUUUUAAUUAUUUUUUAAGUUUAUUAAAAAAAUAGAAAAUUACUAAUAAAAAAAUUAAAAAUAAAUCUGAUAAAUAAAAAAUUAAAAAAAUAAUUUCAUUAAUUAUUUUAAAUAAGAUAAAUAUCAAUUAAAUUAAUAAAAAUCAAAUCUAAUAGAUUAAAAAUUUGAAUUAAAAGAUAACAAUUAAAAGAGAAUAAGGACUAAAUUUAAUAUAAAAAUUAAAUUUUAAAUGAUAAAAUUAAAAAAAUCAAAAUAAAAUAUAUAAAAGCUUAAAUAUUAAGGAUUAAAUUUGAUAUAGUUAAUAAAUAAAAAGAUAUUUUUUAAAUUUAGUCAACUUUUUUAUAUAUUAAUAUCAAAAAUAAAAAAUAAAAAACUAAUAAUUUAAUUUAUUUCAAACAAAAAUUAUUUUAAAAAAUACUAUAUAUUUGAAUUCCAUGCAUUUUGUCAUUUUAGGUUUUAUUUCAAUCAUACGUGAACAAUAUUUAUUUACAAAGCAUAUAAUUAAUUUAGUUAUUUUAAUAUAUUUUAUUUUUUUAAUUUAUUGAUAUCAAAAAUAAAUUUUAAAAAAUAAAAAUUUUAAAAAUUAAUUAUUACCUCUGUGUGGAACACCAUUAAUUUUCUCUUCUUUCCGUUGCAUCAUUGGCUUCUACGCCUGCAAAUCUAGGUACCUUUUUUAUAUAUAAAAAAAAUUCGUUACUUUUUGCUAAAAACAACCAAGUUAGUGACAGUUUAUGCAUGCCUUGACAUGUCUUGCAGAGGAAACAGAAGCACCCUACUUUGCAUUCAGCUGGUUAAACGACAACAACAACACGUUCCAAACAGAAGAUGCUUCAACUAAACCGACCUAAGAGAGCUUAGACAAACAUCUCGAUAGACUUUUUUUUUUUUUUUUUUUUUCAGCACCUCGAUUUUGCUUACUGUAGCUCCUGUUGUUGCCCCUUUUUUUUAUUUUAAUAUAGCUGGUUUUUUCAAACUUGGAUGCAAUUUUUAAUUUUUGCUUUUCCCAGGAUCGAAUUUGGUUGCUUGCUAUCUUGCACGCCCUUUCUUUUCCUAUGCUUGUUUUCCUGCAGAUUGGUUGUUUUGUAGCAACGGUAUUUCACCUCUUUUUGUUCGUCUCAACGAAAAGAAAAUAUAUAUUAAAAAAAUAUUUUUUAUAUAUUUUUUUAAAAUUAUUUUUAAUAUUAAUAUAUUAAAAAAUUGCUUGUUAUUAUUAAUUAUGAUGUUUUAUCAUAUCAUUGGGGAGAGGUGAGUUUCCUUUUAGGUGAAUGAGGUGCCUUGUACUACAUAUAGAGAAUGAAUUUGGCGUGCGUUAGUGGGUGGUUUGUGACAUUGUUAAAACUUCAUAUGUUUAGAGGUUGGUAUUGGGUCGAGGCCCAAAAAACAUGGUGGAAAACCCAUUUGGGCUUUGUCUGCAGUCAUUCAAGGUAGCAGGGGAAUCCAAUUAAUGAAUUGUUAUUGACUUAAUCUCUAUGUUCUUCAUGGCGGGAUUUUAGUUCAGAAGCUUUUUGUUAACUCAGAGUUGUCAUGUUCAAUAUAUAAGCUUUUAAAUUGCUCAGGCACUUCAAAUGAAGAUGGAAGUGCGGAGGAAACUUCAUGGAUAGAUUGCAGGUAUGAAGACAUUUACAGCUGAGAAUUGAAGCUCGAGGGGAACUACUUGCAGUCAGUGUUGAAGAAAUCGCAAGAAACACUGCCUAAACACUUCAAAAGACAGGAGGCUCAAGCUUAAGGGAUGCUAGAUGUUAUCUAAUUGAUUUUUAGUAGAGAUUUUCAGGAUUGAUUCGCUUAAUGGAAGAACUUGCUUGCACUGUCCUGCUUAUUAUGGACAUUUUGAUUACCUUCAAGUUACUGUUUCUUGGUAACUAUAUCUUCAUUCUAAAGAUUGAUUUCGCUUUCUCUUCUCUUCUGUUUUUUAUCAGAGUAAUCUUUGCAUAGACAAUGAACUUCGGGUGAGCCAUGCAAGCCCCGCAGGUUACUGAAAAUUGUUGCGCAAGAAAUGAGAAACGCAGAGGAAAGAAAAGAAAAGUGAAUUCUUGAGAGAAGGAAAGUGUGUUCUGCUCUUCUGGAGAAUUAUAUGCAGAAACUUAGUUUAUUCUUCUUUUAUUUCUCUUCUUCUUGUAUUGCCUGUACCAGGGGAUAUGAAUGUAUAUAUAUACGCAUUUGCUAACUCUUAACUAACUUAACUGUUAUAAGUAACUAUUUAACUGUUAUAACUAACUUUGCACUGCUAAUAGCUAAUCUGCAGGCUUGGCACUAACGAUCUGUAGACGUGGAUUUGAUGGCCUUGCUGUCAGCAUAUCUAUAGUUGAUUAAACAACGAGUAUGCAUGCUCCCGCCAGCCUGCAAAAUUUAGCACAAAGCAAUCGUUGAUUAAUUUGUAGCAAAUAACAGAGUCUAAGGCCUAAGCCUACAGCCAAUCUCGAAAUGGAAUGAUUCUUUUUAUUUUAUUUGCAUUUACACCUCAUUUCCUUCGUAUGUUUGCUUUGUUUAUUUUUUAAUCAAAGCUAAUCUAACUUAACUUUACUUGAAGAAUGCAAAAAAAUUAAUUUACACAUCAAAAUUAAUUUUCUUCUUUGUUUAUUUUAUUAAUUUACACAUCAAAAAAAUUAAUUUGAAAUAAAUAAUAAAUAAAAAUUAACUAAAAUUUAAUUUUUUUCAAAAGUAUUUUUAAAAUAUAAAAAUAAACGAGUUUAUAGCGAUACUAAAACCAACAUCUAUGUAGUCAGAAAGUUAAUUAAGUACGAUGAUAUUUAGUUGUUGAAGUACUUUAAAAUAAUCAAUUUUUUGCUUUAAUUAAUAAUAAUUUUUUUAUCUUUAUAAAUAAAUAAAUAAAAUAACUCAUUAGUUACAUUGAUUUUCUUCGCAAUUGAAGUAGGUAGGCUGGAUUGCCUAAAUAUGAUGAAUAAAGGGUUGGAUUUGCAAAAUUAUUUACACAUUUUAAUUUGUUGAUUUGAUACAUCUCAAUCUGUGAAUUGACACUGUAUUAGUAAGUAAGCACUUCGAAGGUGAAUUGACAGAAAAGAAGAGGAAGAAGAAGGUAGUACUAGACCAAUAAGUUUACACAUAAUCCAUGAACCUAUCUCACAACAAUUUCCUUCAUUACUAAUAUGUUACUACUUAAAAGAGUAAAUUUCUGAUCACUCUAUUUCUGAGAUGGCUGCCAACUCUUGGUGAAGACGUCUCGCUGGCAUGCGGCCUGCGCUGGUUCUCUUAGGGACAGUGGAGCUAAAAGGAUCAGGAGGCUUUGUUAAGUUUUCUCCUUCCCCUUCAAGCAUCUGGACAACAGUUUUCAUGGAAGGACGCUCUGCUGGGUUCCACUGAAUGCACCAUAGCCCCACAAUUGCUAGUUUCUUUGCAAUUUUAGCAUCUUCUUCUCCAUCGAUAUGAAACCGCAGGUCUUCUUCUUUUCUAAGAGAUUAUAAAUCCAUUCCGGGAAGUAUAUCUGGUCGCCAUUUUCUGCUGUAUCAUCGACGUUCUUCCUUCCUCCAACCAUUUCCAACACUAACAUCCAAAGCUGUAAACAUCUGAUUUAUAGGAAACACUCCCGAAGUUUCCUCGAGAACACUUCUGGGGCAAUGUAGCCAACAGUCCCCUAGCAGUCGUCAUGGAAAUAGCACUUUUAUCCUUGGAACACAGCUUUGCCAUCCAAAACGGCGAUUUGGGAUUAAAUUCGUUGUCAGCAGGAUAUUCUUGGUUUGAUAUCAAAAUGGAGGAUUCUUUGAUCACACCCCUGGUGAAGAUAUUCAAUGCCCUUGGCUAUGCUUAGAGCAACACGAUUCAACCUUUCCCAGCCAAGGAAAUGGUUCCUUGAGUCUGCUGAGUUAUGAACUUCUGUAAUGAACCAUUUGGCAAGUACUCAAAACCAGAGCUCGUCUAAAUCCAUCAGCACAGAAACCGAUCAAAGCGAACAACAUUGACAUGGUGAUCCUUGCCAUUGUUCCACUUCAUUGAUGAAUUCCUCCCCUUUUCCUAUGGAAUUAUUGAGGAGCUUCACAGCUACAGCAAUUUCAUGGUUAGCUUUCCUUUGAACACGGUUCCAUAAGCUCCUUGCCCAAUUCAUCCCGGAAUUGAUUUGAUCCUCUUGAAUCAGCAUAGGAGUACCUAGUGGGAUUCAGUGAUCUGUAAUCAUCCAAAAACAUUUCAACCCUGGCUUGAUAUUCUCUUGUGUUUUAUCGUUGCAAUAGCGCGGUAGAGUGCAGUAAUCACUAUUGCAAAAAGGAAGAAUCCUAAAAUCACACCUGCAUAUAAACAUUCCGAGUCAGGAAACUCUUUUUUUUGGGAAGUAAUGUAUGAACCAAGUGUAAAAUUGAGAUGGAGAUUUGAGCAGACUACAAACCACAAUCAGUAGCUUUCGCCGCACAUCUGUAAGGAUUGAAACUUAUUAGCUUCUCCCUUUAGGCAAUUAGUAAAAUCAUGAAAGCAACAAAAACGGAAAGAGUUUCUUUUUAAUUUGAAAAACCCUUAUUUUUUUUAUAUUUACGUAUUCAAAUGCAAAUUAUUAAUUUGAAAAAAGGAAGAAAGAUAGAAAAGCAUACCUUUAGUGUGCGGAAGAAUGCUGUAGCAUUCAGCUUCAGAAGAUCCACAAGUUGGAUUGGACCAAGACAUAGUAAGAACAUAAUUUUCUUCAAGCAACAUACUAUAUGAAAUUCGAUAAAUGUUGUACAUCUUGGUACAAGAUAACAAAUCAGAGUAACUGAUGGGAAUUCCUGAGUCAACGGCAUAAACUUCAUGCUUAAAAGUACUCAGACAUGGGAAUUUAUCCAUGUACGAAGGAGACCUAUAGGUCUUCAUGCAAAGUCUUGAUGGUCUUGAUUAAACUUCUUCCAUGCCUCCCCGUCAGAUGGAUGCACCAUAACUCCAUCAUCGGACCUAUGAAAAUGAUGCCAUGUCAUAUCUUUGGCAUGAUGUGGAGACAUGAAUAGCCUCUGAAGUCUUGGUGUCAAGGGAAAGUAUCGGAGUUGUUUCUCUGACUUAUUAGAACCUUUACUAGUGGGAUUUCUAGGUUUGUAUCGUAAACUCCACAAAAGUCACAAUUUGUUUUCAUUGCAUCUACCCCAUAGUACAACAUACAAUAAUUAGGACACACAUCAUAAUUUAUCAUAACCAAGUCCAAGUGGCCGCAUAAAUUCUUGGCAUCAUAGAAACUUGAAACCAAAUUUCCAUUAUCAGGCAUGCAACUUUUGUAAAUUCAGUAAAUUUGUUGAAGGCAGUCUGAGUCAAAUUUAGAGUUGACUUCAUAUUAAGCAAUUGUACACAAGCAGAUAAUUUAGAUUGCUUGAUACACCCAUCCCAUAAAGACUCCUCUGCAGCUUUAAGUAAUUUAAAAAUUUACUGCCUCUGGAUUCGGAAGUUCUUCUGCUAUCAUAGAUAGAAACCUUAUCAUUAGAGUAUGUAUCACCAACCCCAUGCAUGCAGAACCAUAUCCUAUAUGAAUUUUCUUCAAAAACAUCAUUCACAACAUGACACCCAACGAUGAAGGUCCAGCAAUUAUUGGUUCUGAAACAUAAGGCUCCAUGUACAGUCCAAUUUUCAUAAUCAGGUAAAAAUCCUCUUGAAACAGGUCUUAUAAACUUCUUCCAUUAAAAAACUUUGAUUUUUGCACCUAACACAAGACAUCUAAUUUUCCUCCAGAUACAUUUUCAUCAAUUGAAAAUGCAAAAUUGAUAAAUCUUCGUACACCCAAUAAAUUCCGGACAAAUAUGACCAUCCCUACGACGGCGAUACAUCCAUGAUCGAUCGUCCAUAUUAAUCUAUUUAACAUAAUUAAAACAAAAAAAUUAGAAUAUUAAUAUAUUUCUUAAUAUAACUUUAUAUAACAAAUAUCAAAAUAACUUCAUUAAUAGCUAGCUAUAAUUUAAAAAUGAAAAACUCUUACAAUACAUCUUUUAUUGCUAAUUGUUUUUACGUUCGUAAUUGAGAUAUCAUAAGAUGUGAUUUAAUUUAACAUUAACUAAAAUAUUACUGAAUUUGAAAAAUCCAAUGUAAGCAUCACAGUAUGUGUUAAGCAUUUUUGCAUCAUGAACAAUAUACAAGGACAAUGUUUAAAAUACCGUAGCUAUAUGACGCUUCCACUUCCCCAAUAUUUUCAGCAGAGACUGUAGCAACACCAAAUUGAGUAAGGGCUCCUGCAAAGAAUGAAGAUGAAGCUCAACAUUACACCUAAAUAUGUAGAAGCAUGGUGACGCAUAGAAACAGUGCCAUAACUUAAAAAUUGUUGAAAUUGCACAAAUGAAAGAAGGCUACUGCAAAGAAAGCUCCCUCCGAGUCAAUGCAAGAACGACGAAGACAGACAAUGUAAGGAAAAGACAAUGCCUUAACUCUAUUGGAUAGACAGUGACAUGCAAGAAGUAAAUAAUUCUCGAUGUCCAGAGACAUUCUCAAGAUUCCCAGUCACAAUAAGUAAAAUAAACUAAUUAAAUCUCCACGGAGCACUAAGUCUUCCGGUUUUGUAACUAGUAAUUUAUACCACUAGUUAGUAAAUAUGCUUAUCGAUGCGAGAUCGCUCUCUCAAUCCUAACAUAUAUGCUGAGACCAUAUUGUGAAAAUGACAAAUUUGACUUUAAACAAUCCGUCACUUUUCUCGUAUAUUAGGCAUCUUGUUCAAAUUGAAGCUAAAUAAUCUUAAUUAAUUAUACUCUUUGACUAGCUAACAACUUUUUGUAAAUCCUCGAUAGGACUGUGCCCUUUAUCCUUUCUUUUCUCCCCUUACAUCCUGACAUCACAUAACAUUCGCAAGCCACCCUUUCAUCAAACCAAUUCUCAAGCUAGAGUGAGCUUAACCCUUUGAAUGUAGGAGUCUUUGUAGAGGGCUCUGCAUCAAGAAUUUCAUUAGAGAAGAUGAUUCACCCACCCUAGAACUCCCCCACUUUGUCAUUGUGUUCCUCUGAGGUCUCUCAUCAGAGCUUGAUUGCAUGUUAAUUACGAUAUCUACAUUAACAUAGCCUAAAUUAACUUAUGUCGAGCUAGCUAGGAACGUUAUGAGGAACCUUAUGGUCCUUUUACAUCUUUUGCAUGCUCUGUUUGCAACAUUUUCUCGUUACCGCAAAGAAAGCAAUAGUUUGCAACACCACAACAUUUUUCAUGCUCUUAUUGCAAUAAUCUCAACCCUCUCUCAGUAUUUUUUUUUUAUACCUUACAUUUAAUAAAUAUUAAUACUACAAUUAAUAAUUAAAAUAUUAGGAUGUGAUAAAGCUAUAUAACAACUAAUUUGCAAAAAAUCAAACAAAAUUAUUAUCUCAUCAUAAAAUUAAUUAAUAAAAAAAAAUACGUUAUCUAAAUACAAAUAAACUCUUAAAUUUAGGUUCUAAUUAUACCUGUUUGGUUGCAACUGAAACGUGGAUUCUUGGUGGAAGCAAACACCAAUCUUUGCCAAGUGGGUUCAGGAAAAGUUAAAGAUUGCAAAUGGGAGCACAACACCGAUUUUGCAAAUGGUUUAAGCACACUACAGGACAAUUAAAGAAAGCAAAAGUGGGGUAAUUGAAAAGGGUUGUUUUGGAGUUACAUGUCUGGACAAUAAUUGAAGAGAAAACAGAGGAGGGAUGGGUUUCGGCAAAAGGAAGAAAGGGACAAAUUGAUUGGGUUAGGGUUUUUUAAGUGGAGAAUGAAAGUUUUUGAUUUUGAGCUGGAGUAAUAAAUUGUCUCCUACGGGUGUUUUUGUUAUAAUAUAUAUAAAGUCAAAUUUUUUUUCUUCUCUUUAUCAGCAAGCAAUGUAAACCGUGCCAUUAUAUCAGCAACGGAUAAUCCGUUGCUGAUUUUUAAUAUAUUAAUUUAUUUUUUAGCAACCGAUUUUCUGUUGCUAAAUCCGUUACUAAUAUUAAAAAAUUAGUAUAUAUACAAUUCGUUGCUAAUCCGUUGCUAAAUUUGCAACUGAAAUAUUUCGUUGCUGAUUGCCGAUGCUACUGACCCCUUUUUUUAGUAGUGCUAUUCUCACUAGAAAGUGAACAAUUGAACAAGGUCCAACCAUAGUACAGCCAAUCGUUCAUAAUUUGGAAGUGAGAAUCCCCUAAACUGAACUUUAAACGUUGCCUUGGAAAGCAACCUUGAGGAUCCCUUGCAUAAAUAAGUCGAUGUCUAUAGUCAAUUCUUUCGAUGAGGAGACUCAAUCCAGUUGGCAGAUUAAGCACUGUGCCGUUGUCCUCUGAGCAGGAUAGAUCAAACCCAGGAUAUCCACAGUGGUCUGGUUGUUUUUCCUUGAUCCGGAAAGGAAAUCGGAUGUCAGGGCCACGGUUUCCACAUGAUCCUGUGCAAUUCAAGCUUGCUCCAUGGUCUGCAAGGAAGACAAUGAAAAAGAAGAACAAACACGGAAACAUUUCUGAUGAAUACUUCAUCAUCUCCACACUCCUCGACUUUAUCUGCAUGUUCUGAUAUAGUUUUGGCCGUUCAGAAAACUCAUGUAGUCCUUAGAUGGGUGAGUCCUUUACACUGUAGUACACGCAUCCUUGCAUCCCUCCCUUCGACAUUAAAAAAUAUAUUCAAAAAGACUGUCUGGUUCAGGUAAUUUUGGUCGGUUUUUAUGAUUAAUUUGCUCAUCCCUAAUGAUAGUAAUAGUCUCUCUAUCUACAUAAUGUGAAUUUUAAUUACAUGGUCGCACCCUUAACGCUUAAUUAACGCUUAUGCCAGAUGGGACGGGUGCGAGAUUCUCAACAAGAAAUAAUUAACGCUUAACGAUUAACGCUUUGACAAGUUCUUUAACCUUUCAAUCAGUUGGGAAGGGAGGAAAAGUCUUGCUUUGACAAGUUCUUUAACCUCUCAAUCAGUUGGGAAGGGAGGAAAGGAAAGUAAACGGCUCUCUGUUGUUGUCUUGCUACAUAGCUUUUUUUUUUCAGAUAUCAGUAUUUAAAUACUGAUUUAAGUUCUUUUUCAAACACGCUAUCAGUAUUUAAGUACUGAUUUAAGUUCCUUUUAAUUUAAGUACUGAUUUAAGUUCCUUUUCAAACACGCUAUCAGUUAUUUAAGUACAGUUGGACUUCCAAACUUGAAUAUUUUUGACAUUAGACUAGAGGUUACAAUUGAAUUGUCACUAUCUUUAUCUUGGAAUAUCUCGUGGAUUUGGUCUUUGAUGAGAUGCUCCAACAAUAAUAUCAAGCUCGCUGGAUUUCGUUGUUUGUGGUAUUGUCACUUCAGCCUUCCCCAUGUUUAGAGGAAUGAACGUCCUUUUGGCUUGCUACAUAGCUUUUCUUUUACAGCUAUUAGUCUUCCAAACUUGCCAUUCUAGCAACUUCACUGCUCAUUGUGCUCCUUCUUCAUGCGGCAAUAUCCAAAACAUAAGCUUCCCUUUCAGACUAAACACUGAUCCUCAAAGCUGCGGAAACUAUAAUUAUACUCUGAUUUGCGAGAACAAUAUUUCUACAGUAUUAUAUUUGUAUUCAGGUAAAUACUACGUGCAGGCAAUCGACUACGGUAACUUCACAAUCCGAGUGGUAGAUGCUGGUGUACAAGAUAAUUGCUGCUCCAUCCCUCGUUAUUCUUUGGCACCUGAUGACUUCCGUUACGGAGAUCGAUACACAUGGUAUACCUACAAGGAGGUGCCGCCGCCGGUAGUGAGUGAAGGUUUCGUGGAUUAUUGGGGGCACCGGUACUUACCUCCACUAUCACAGCCUAUGAUUUUCAUGAGCUUUGAAAAUACGGUGAAUUCUCCUCUUUAUGUGGACACUGUUUAAUAAACUCAAUCCAGAAGUUCCCAGAUGGUCAAGGAAGGCAACCACCAGCUGCCACCGACCAGCCGCCACUGUCCAGCCGCCAGCCACCAGCCGCAGCCGCCAGCCGCCUUCACACCUGCUGCCGCCAGCCGCCUUCACACUUGAAGGUUGAAUUUUCGUAUUUUCAAUUCGUGUAUAAAUAGAGUGCCCAGCUUAUGUUAUAUGUGUGGAGAGAAUUGAGAGGAACACUAGAAAGAGAAUAGAGAGAGAGAGAGGGCGUGUAAUUGUUAAGCUUUUAUUGUGUUAUUGUAAGCUUCGGUUUUGUGUAAUAAAACAAUGUGUUUUAUCCCCUUUGAGUGUUUCAAAGCCACCACCAGUGGUUUCUCCCGCCAACAAUUGGUAUCAGAGCCCCGUUCAUCGAAAAACAGAAGAGUUUUGGGGUAUAUCCGAAUUUUCAAAGUUGUCAAAAACAAGUUUUGAUCAUUCCACAGUGUAGAGCUCAUCAAUACGAACUCACUGCCGCAAAAAUCAGCCUCAUCGGAGUCCGAGGUAGCCCACACGCGCCAUCUGAAUAUUCUGACAGAUCGUCCACGCGCAUCCCACGCGCCCCGAGGUUGAAGACGACUGAGCCACACGCACGCCAUAUUUGAGCCGAGCCGAGCCGUAUACGCCGAGUCCUAGCCGAGCCACAAGCCGAGUCCAGCCGAGCCGUACCUCGCGCCGAGCCGAGCCGCGUUCCAGCCUCAGCCGAGCCGAAGGAAUAUUCCCCAGAAUAUUCCUCGAAUAUUCCCCAGAAUAUUCCCGGUUAAACCCAGCGAACCGCCCGCCGUACAAUUAUGCUCGAUAAUCAACUUCUUUUCACGGUUAAAAGAUUAAAAAAUUAAUUUUUAUUAUUAAUAAUUUUUUACUCUUUAAAUAGAGAAUGGCUUUAGAUUAAUUUUUUAUUUAUUCAUAAUUUGUUUAUUGAUUAAGGAUUAUUGACUUAAUCUCUAUGUGCUUUAUGGCGGGAUUUUAUUGAAGUAAUAGUUCAGAAGCUUUUUGUUAACUCAGAGUUGUCAUCUUCAAUAUAUAAGCUUUUAAAUUGCUCAGGCACUUCGAAUGAAGUUGAAAGUGCGGAGGAAACUUCAUGGAUAGAUUGCAGGUCUGAAGACAUUUACAGCUGAGAAUUGAAGCUCUAGGGGAACUACUUGCAGUCAGUGUUGAAGAAAGCGCAAGAAAGAGUGCCUAAACACUUCAAAAGACAGGAGGCUCAAGCUUAAAGGAUGCUAGAUGUUAUCUAAUUGAUUUUUACUAGAGAUUUUCAGAUUGAUUCACUUAAUGGAAGAACUUGCUUGCACUGUCCUGCUUAUUAUGGCCAUUUUGAUUACCUUCAAGCUACUCUUUCUGCUGCCAUCAAUCCAACCUGUUACUGUUUCUUGGUAACUAUAUCUUCAAUGUAAAGAUUGAUUUCGCUUUCUCUUCUCUUCUGUUUUUUAUCAGAGUAAUCUUUGCAUAGACAAUGAACUUCGGGUGAGCCAUGCAAGCCCCGCAGGUUACUGAAAAUUGUUGCGCAAGAAAUGAGAAACGCAGAGGAAAGAAAAGAAAAGUGAAUUUUUGAGAGAAGGAAGGUGUGUUCUGCUCUUUUGGAGAAUUAUAUGUAGAAACUUAGUUUAUUCUUUUUUUAUUUCUCUUCUUCUUGUAUUGCCUGUACCAGGGGAUACGAAUGUAUAUAUAUACACAUUUGCUAACUCUUAACUAACUCUCUUAACUAACUUAACUGUUAUAACUAACUCUUUAACUGUUAUAACUAACUUUGCACUACUAAUAGCUAAUCUGGAGCCUUGGCACUAAAUUGGCUGAGAGUUUGGACUGCAUAGGAUAAGUCCGGUCUUGUGAGUGUAAGAUAUAAAAGCCUCCCAAUCAGUCUACGAUAAGAUACAGGAUCAUAUAAGGAUGGACUAAUAUCAUGAGUUGUGAGUUUUAGAGUGCAUGCCAUAGAAAAACUGACUGGUUUAGCACCAGAAAAACCACUAUCUGCCAACACAUAUAAAACAUAUUUUCUUUAGCAAAGAACAAUGUUUUUAGCAUAUUUAGCUACCUCAAUGAAAAAAAUACUUCUGCUCUCCCAAAUCUUUUAUAGGAAAGGAUGUUGUGCAAAGGAACUGUUUCACAUUGUUUAUUUCUGCAAGAUUGUUGGAAGCUAUGAUUACAUCAUCAACAUAAGUUAACAUUGCUAUAAAAUUGUUGGGAGUUUGUCUAAUAAAGAGACUAGAAUCUGAUUUUGCAUGUAGGAAACCAAAAUGUAAUAGAGAGGUAGAUAGCUUGGAGAACUAUUGUCUAGAGGCUUGUUUCAGUCCAUAUAUGCUUCUUUUGAGAUUGCAUACCCGAGGAUCAUUUGGAUUUGAGAAACCUGGUGGUAAUUGCAUAUAUACUUCUUCAUUUAAGUCUCCAUGCAAGAAGGCAUUGCCAACAUCAAGUUGAUGUAAAUGCCAGUGUUUGACAGCAACAAUGGUAAGAAGAACUCUGACUAUUGUCAUCUUUGCAAUAAGAGAAUAAGUAUUAAAGAAAUCGAUGCCAACUUGUUGAGUGUAGCCCUUAGCUACCAAUCUUACCUUAUAUCUUUCAACCUUGUCAUCAGCCUAGAAUUUCACUUUGUAUACCCACUUACAAUCAAUAACAGAUUUGUUUUGAGGCAAAAUUACCAGAUCCCAAGUUUGGAUUUUCUCAAGAGCUUUAAUUUCUUUCGUCAUGGCAUUUUGCCAAUGAGAAAUAGAGCUGGCUUGUUUGUAAGUUGUUGGUUCAAACAUAGAUGAAACAACAAAAGUGAAAGCUUGAUGUUUAAAAGACAAUUUUGAAUCAGAUAAGAAGAAGAAUAUAGAGUAUGGCUUACCAAAAAAAGAGCAGUCCGAAGAUAUUAGAUUUGCCGAAGGAAUCUGAGCCAUAUUUCCACAAUAAUAUUGCUUUAAGUAAUUAGGUGGAUGCUUAGUCCUUUCAGAUCUUAUGAGGUUAGGAACAUCAUUGUUGUUAAAGGAAGAAGUUACAGGAACAUAAUUUUUUAAAGGUAGUGUUGUAGGAAUAACAUAAUUUUGAGGAGCUAUUUGGCUGGGAUACAGGGGAAUGAAUCAAAGGUUUGAGGAAAGUCAAGAAACACAAAAUGAUUGGAAAAUAUAAAAAACAUAUCAAUUCUAAGUAAAAAAAAAAAAAUUAAAUUUUUUGAAAGUACUUUUAAAAAAGCACUCCCAAAUAGGUAAUAAUUCAUUGGUGCUCGAGCCAGACAACAAAGCAUCUCUUUCGUUUGAUAUUUUAUACUGAAAGAGCCGGUCAAUUAUUUUUAUAUUUCCUUAGUUUCUUUCAUAGCAAAGCGCCCUCAGGUCAAUGAUUAAGAAUAUUUGUAGGGUUCUUGAUUAUUUCUUCUUGUCGAGAAGCUUGUGCCUUGUAGCAAUCUAUCACGGGGUGCUUGUCAAGAAAGAUUUACAUAUUAUAAGGUUGAAGUGGUCAAGGGAAGAGAUGACAGGAGGAGGAUAAAGCACAUGAUCUCUCUAGGAAUUCUAUGUACACUGCUCGAUAAUCAACUUCUUUUCACGGUUAAAAGAUUAAAAAAUUAAUUUUUAUUAUUAAUUAUUUUUUACUCUUUAAAUCAAGAAUGGCUUUAGAUUAAUUUUUUAUUUAUUCAUAAUUUGUUUAAAUUAUAUUAAACGAAAAAAUAAUUUAACCUUUCAAUCAGUUGGGAAGGGAUGAAAGGAAAGUAAACGGCUCUAUGUCCUGUUGUCUUGCUAAUGUUUCAAUCAAUGACUUAAGGGCCUGUCAGAAGGAAACGAAAAUAAUGGGGCUUUGACAAGUUCUUUAACCUUUCAAUCAGUUGGGAAGGGAUGAAAGGAAAGUAAACGGCUCUACAUAGCUUUUCUUUUUCAGCUAUCAGUAUUUAAGUACUGAUUUAAGUUCUUUUUCAAACACGCUAUCAGUAUUUAAGUAUAGUUGGACUUCCAAACUUGAAUAUUUUUGUCCUUAUCUUUACCCUACAACGGAAGGAAGGAAGCUCGUGGAUUUGGUCUUUGAUGAGAUGUUCCUACAAAAACAUCAAGCUCGCUGGAUUUCGUUGUUUGUGGUAUUGUCACUUCAGCCUUCCCCAUGUUUAGAGGAAUGAACGUCCUUUUUGCUUGCUACAUAGCUUUUCUUUUACAGCUAUUAGUCUUCCAAACUUGCCAUUCUAGCACCAUCACUGCUCAUUGUGCUCCUUCUUCAUGCGGCAAUAUCCACAUUAGCUUCCCUUUCAGACUAAACACUGAUCCUCAAAGCUGCGGAAACAAUAACUAUGCUCUGACUUGCGAGAACAAUAUUUCUACAGUAUUAUAUUUGUAUUCAGGUAAAUACUACGUGCAGGCAAUCGACUACGGUAACUUCACAAUCCGCGUGGUAGAUGCUGGUGUACAAGAUAAUUGCUGCUCCAUCCCUCGUUAUUCUUUGGCACCUGAUGACUUCAGUGACGGAGAUCCAUACACAUGGUAUAACUACAAGCAGGUGCCGCCGCCGGAAGUGAGUGAAGGUUUCGUGUACUACUGGGGGCCCCGGUACUUACCUCCACUAUCACAGCCUAUGAUUUUCAUGAGCUGUGAAAAUACGGUGAAUUCUCCUCUUUAUGUGGACACGGCUCCCUACGGCCUUAACUAUGGAUCAGGAAAUUAUUCCAACUCUUCUCUUGUGACUCAUUCGAAUUAUGUGACUCUUGGGGGCAUGAAUGCCUCGGAUUUGAUGGAACUGUGCAGCAUAGAGAAAAUAUUUUUGCUUCCAAAGAAGAACUACACAGACAAUUACUCCUUUGAAGAAAUACACAGUGACCUGGCAUAUGGGUUUGAGCUUUCAUGGUACAACAUAAACUGUGAAAAUUGCAGAAGAGGUUGCUACCUCGACAGUGCAGACCGUAGUCGAUGCAUUGGUAUGUAACACUUGAUGAUUAAGUUGCAUCACUUUGAUUCAUAAGACCGUAUAUAACUUGUGAUUUGAGAUGGUUCUGUUGGGCGGAAUCCGGGGACUGGUGAUGUACUGAUAAUUACUCAACGGAAGGAUAAGCACACUGAGACACAAUAUUUUACGUGGUUCGGCAAAACCGCCUACAUCCACGGGAGAGAGUCAUUUUAUUAUAGAUAGAGAAGGGAUACAAUAAAUACAUGGAGGAGGAGGCAUAUCCACUCAACUCAACUCACUAUUCACGCAGCUGCAAUGGCUGCAGGGCUGCUGCCCAUGGCAGCAGCUCUUUCUCUCCUCUUUCUCUUCACUUCAUUCUCAUGUUCUCUCACACUUUGCUCUCUAAGAUCAUGCCUCUUUUAUAGGCAUCAAUGGUGGCUUCUCUUGCUCCUUUGUCAUUAAUGGUGGCUGCCAAACUCCUCUUUUCUUCAACAAAGGCUGCUGCCAACUUCUUCUCUUCUUCAACAAUGGUGGCUACCAAAGUCAAUGGUUGUAGCCACCAUUAGUUGAACAUGUAAUGGCAACAUACCUAACAAUCACCCCCUUUGCCAUUCAUGUGGGGCAAUUGUCCGCUUGCUUUUUCAGCACAAGCUUGCAUCAUGCAGCUCUUCCAAGCUUACCAUUCCGAGAGCAUCUCCGGCCAAGUUUACAGGUACUCGCCAAACCUUUCAAUCACCAGAGUCACUAAAGCACACCCUUGCUUACACCAAAGGAUCACUUCAACCAGAUGGUCUCACACAUCACAUCUGAAGAGUGUUAACGCUUGUCUCUGGGAACAUUCCCCUUCGAGCGUAUCAACCAUGCUCGGUCCGGAAUGAUUUAUCAAGCCUCACACCAAGGCUUACAACACCCCCUCAAACGGAUAUUCCAAGUGCGACAGUCAUUAUCUGAGUAUCUCAAUAUGAUCACAAGCCCACCACUCUUCCAAGAGUCUACUCAUCCAGGAGUUGCGCCUGCCCUCUGUUCCACCAUAGGAACCACGCCUUACUUCUCCAUGAGUCUCCCGCUCUUAGUCGUAAGAGUCCAGGUAGCUCUCCACCUUUAAUAAUGGGGGCAGCCCAUUAAAGGUUGAUCCAUGUAUGUCUUCAUACUCUGAGUAUUACAAUGCCAUCACCGAGCUCACCACCUUGACAAGAGUCAACUCGUUCCCAGAACCUGCGCAUGCCCUCUGCUCCUUCAUAGCAGUCGCGUCUUAAUGCUCCACAAGUCACACACUUAUUGUCCAAGGCAAAUGUCUUCUAGCUCAUUGAUCUUUAGCAUGGGGGCAAUAUCCAUGAAAGUCAAUCCUGCAUUUGUCUUCAUACUCAUCAUAGCCACUUCAUUGGCUAUCCAUUUGUCCACUCAUAUCCAGCCAUCACAUUGGCUCUGGGGCGUUCUGAACUGGGCUCAUAUCGUGGCCCACACACCUUUUCAUUAGGUGUCUCCGCUCGUCUUCAUGCGGCGGUCUGAAAUCUAGGCUCAUAUCAUGGCCCUCACACCUUCCAUCCGAGCGGUCUCAUCCUCCUUCAUCGGGAUGACUCAAGUGGCUUCAAGAUUCUCUACCACCAUGUGGACUUGGGAGAUAUUACUGCCACUGACUACAUAGAAAGAGAAAAUUGCGGUAUACUCCUCGCAAUCCUCCACCUUGAUUUCUAUGUUUGGAGCUUCUACAUCUUUCAGCUUUACAGCUCCACCUACACCACUCUCUUUGGUGUCUUCGCCUUUCAUAGGCGGUCGCCUUGUAUCACAAGCGUUUGCACCCCCUCAAUUAGGUGCCUUUGCAACAGCUCUCUUUCCAUCCUUGCAUGCAUUGGAAAGGUCUUCGCCUGUUGUCUUCAUCAAGAGCAUAAGAGACUUCCUGUUGUACAAACUUUAACAGUCUCUACUCUGAGCUUCAUUUGGGAACACUUCUUCUCCUUGCACCUGUUGUCUCAUUACAGUACCUCGUUGGAUCCCUCGGGUACUCUUGCACAAUCUUCGUGUGCCCUCGUGCAAUUAAUGUUCUCCAGAUUUCUCCCUAUUCCUUGCUUAUGUUUGACAGCAGCUCAUCCCGUCACAACACCUGUCCAAGUCAAAAUAGGGUGCCAAUCUUUAUCCCCUUGCUGUAUUUCUCUUCCAUUAUCAGGGUCUUCAUCAAUUCUCCCUUCGAGAAAUCACAAUCAUCGAAUCUACCUUCUUUGGAGAAAUCACCACUCCAUCAGAUCCUUGAUCAUGCGGAACCCAACUGUUCCCCUUGUGCCGUCAUCCUGCUAGUCUUCAACUGUUUCAUUACAAACUGCUAUAUAUACGAAAAUAGUACCGUAUGGAUAAUCCUUCCACUAAGCAAGUUCCCAGGAAAGAUUGGAGGGGUCACAACGGUCCCGCUUAAAACCCAAUCUCCUAGACAGAACUUCUUAGGCCAUAUCUAUCCAUCGUACUGUCUCUCCGUAUAUACAACCAUUUGCUAGCUUUGUUGCGGCUUUGCUUUACAAGUGAUCUGGAAUAUACAGGUUUAAUACAUGAUUUCUCAACAUCUAGCGAGACUACCAGUGCUUAGAUUCGUCAAGAUUGGUCUUCGUCAAUUUCCACUCUCCACCUCAAAUCGUCCACAUGACCGGGUGUCCAGAGUGUCCCAAUUUUUCCUUCCAUCAAGGCAUUAUAUUUCCCCAUUAAAUAGUUCAGCACAUGUAAUUGGGUAAACAUGUGCACCUUUUUCUUCUUCAUCUCCAUCGACCACCAUGAUGACCUUCAGAUGCCUCCUGAUCGGGCAAUCUCUCUUUAAUAAUUCACCACCGCCAUUUUUGGUCUCGAAUCUCAACGAUCGGACCGUACCAUUGCAUCCGGAAUGAUCAAAUUAGCUGGAAACAUGUCUUGAAUCGUCCAAAUCGCACUUCAGACGGCUAAGAUUUGAUCAAAACAAUUCUGGCCUUAUCAACGGCUCAGAUUCAAUCUCAGAUCCGGUUUCACGUAGACUCUGCUGCACAGAAUCCUAUCCCUCGGCUCGCGGCUCGGCUCGGCUCCAACUUGGCCCGGCUCAACUUUGGCUCGGCUCGGCUUGGCUCGCGGCUGAUGACAUGGCCAGUGGGUCCCACUAUGCUGACAUGGCUGUUGACUAGUCAAUGGCCUGCUGACUGUGUAUGAUGAUGUCAUCCUUGCAUCAUGCGCAUGUCAUCCUUUGCAUGGCACUAUUCAUGGUGCGUCACUGUUCAUACCUACUGUUUACAUGGGUCGGGUCGACUGGUAUUCGGGUCGGGUCAUCCGGGUGAAGAAGACGCGUGGCACGCGUGGGGCGCGUGGGCAGACACCUUGCCGGAGAGUGAUGGAGAGUGCGGCCAUAUCCGACGUCCGAUUUUGACGCGGUUUUCACCAGUGGCUUCGUCUCUUCCUCCUCUACACAGUGGGAUGGUCAAAACACAAUUUGGACAACUUUCAUUUUUGAGCAAAAAAUCAAACACCACUUAAACCAUAUGCUCUGAUACCAAUUGUUGGGCGGAAUCCGGGGACUGGUGAUGUACUGAUAAUUACUCAACGGAAGGAUAAGCACACUGAGACACAAUAUUUUACGUGGUUCGGCAAAACCGCCUACAUCCACGGGAGAGAGUCAUUUUAUUAUAGAUAGAGAAGGGAUACAAUAAAUACAUGGAGGAGGAGGCAUAUCCACUCAACUCAACUCACUAUUCACGCAGCUGCAAUGGCUGCAGGGCUGCUGCCCAUGGCAGCAGCUCUUUCUCUCCUCUUUCUCUUCACUUCAUUCUCAUGUUCUCUCACACUUUGCUCUCUAAGAUCAUGCCUCUUUUAUAGGCAUCAAUGGUGGCUUCUCUUGCUCCUUUGUCAUUAAUGGUGGCUGCCAAACUCCUCUUUUCUUCAACAAAGGCUGCUGCCAACUUCUUCUCUUCUUCAACAAUGGUGGCUACCAAAGUCAAUGGUUGUAGCCACCAUUAGUUGAACAUGUAAUGGCAACAUACCUAACAGGUUCCAUAUAUUUUCUCUGGCUUACUUUUCAAUUUUUCAUUUUUUUGGGCAUUAGCACAAUAUUGCACUGUCCCCAGAUGUUCAUGUACAAAUUCUGUGCAUCCAUUACCCGUGGAUUCUACUAUAGUGCACUGAUCAUAAGAUUCAUUCAUGUUCAUAUUGUAAAAUAUUCCGACUAUAAUGUGGUUGAAGGUAGUUGGACAGAUUCAUUGGUCUUUUGCAAUUUCAGGAUUGACACAGAAAACGUUUGGUUCAUCUUAACUUGACCAUGGAUACACAUUAAUUAGUUCAAGUCACAUUAUUAAUUGUGUGCUAUUUUCUAUUUUCUUUCGCAUUUACUGUUGCGUAUACCAUUAGAACUCGUUUUUUAACCUAAAUUCUCGACAGAUGAAAGCUACUGGCAAAUUAUACUCUACCUUCUGACAGGUGCGAAUUCUUUUUCUCUAUCUCACCAUGUUUGUGUAUUCUUACGUGUUUCUUUAAACUGUUAGAAAUAUUUGAAGAAGAAGAGUAAAAAUAGGAAUAUGAGAAAUAUGGUCUCAUAGUAAACUCUGCUAAGUCCUACUAGACUUGGACUUAGACUUACAAUAUUUUUAAUAUAUAUUUAUAUUAGUUUAGGAUAAUUCAAGAGAUUUUAAAGAUAAAUACAUAUUUAAGUAGUCACAUGUAUAUAGUUAGGAGACAUCUAGGAGAACUAAAAGACACUUUAAAUGUAGACUUCAAAAUUAAUUCUAACAUAAACGACAUAUUUGUGAAACAAGGAUUGUUGUUUCUUGAAUAGUAAUUGUAAUUUUGUUCACCAUUUUCUGCAGAUCCCUACCUCUAUUUAUCUAUAUCCAUUUUAUUUGGUAAGAGAUUCCUUCAUUUCUUUAGUUUCGCAACAAAUUUCUAGUGGAGACAACAAAUAAGAUCACAAAACUUGAUUGUUUUCUGGAAAUUUCCUACACAGCACUACUUCAUGGGCUAAAAGUUGUUUGUGGGACUCCAUGUGUGAUUAUAUUUUUGAUCUACAAAUGGCGAAGGAGACAUUUAUCAGUAUACGAUACAGUUGAACAAUUCCUACAGAGUCAGAAUAACCUGAAGCCAGUAAGGUAUUCCUACUCAGAUAUCAGGAAGAUUACUAGAGGUUUCAAGAACAAAUUGGGUGGAGGCUUUGGUACAGUUUACAAAGGAAAGCUUCGCAGUGGGCGUUUUGCAGCAGUAAAAUUGUUGGGAAAAUCAAAAGCUAAUGGACAGGAUUUCAUAAAUGAAGUUGCUACUAUAGGAAGGAUUCACCAUACUAACGUGGUGCAGCUAAUUGGUUUUUGCGCUGAAGGAUCAAAGCGAGCUCUUGUAUAUGAUUUCAUGCCUAAUGGAUCUCUUGACAGACACUUGUUUUCUCGAGAAGGAUCAAUCUCUUUAAGCUGGAAAAACUGCAUCAGAUUUCCCUUGGAGUGGCUCGUGGUAUCGACUAUCUUCAUUUAGGCUGUGACAUGCAAAUACUUCAUUUUGAUAUCAAACCUCACAAUAUUCUUCUCAACGAAAAUUUCACUCCAAAAGUUUCUGACUUCGGGCUUGCUAGGUUGUACCCAACGAAUGGCAGCAUCACAUCUCUUACUGCAGCAAGGGGCACCAUAGGAUACAUGGCUCCUGAAUUGUUCUACAAAAACAUUGGACGUGUCUCCUAUAAAGCUGAUGUUUAUAGCUUCGGAAUGCUGCUAUUGGAAAUGGCAGGCAAAAGGAAGAAUGUAAACGCAUUGGCAGAAAAUUCAAGUCAAAUCUACUGGCCAUAUUGGGUUCAUGACCAAGUAUCUGAUGGAAAGGCCAUAGAAAUCGGAGACGAUGCCACGGAGGAAGAACGUAAGAUCAUCAAGAAGAUGAUUAUGGUUGGAUUGUGGUGUAUACAAAUGAAACCCAUGGAUCGGCCUACAAUGAAGAAUGUUGUGGAGAUGCUUGAAGGAGAUUUGGAAAACUUGCAAUUGCCUCCUAAGCCUGUCUUCAAUCUAGAUGUGACGCCACCAAACAUUGAAGGAGAGUCAUCAUCGUUGACAGGUUAUUCUACCGAAUCAACCAGUUUGGUUGAAAUGAAUACUAAGUGAUAUGAUGUGGAAUGCUCUGCUUACAUGCAGGGAAAAUGAUAGAAUAAUGGUGCUUUCGGACUUGGUUGCGAUGAUUUAGUCUGCAAACAUUAUGAUAAUUUGCAAUAUUUCCUUUUAUCUGAUUUGUGUUUAGCUAAUUUAGAGUUCAAGCUGCGGCUUUUUUCUUCUGUGUGGUCUAUAUAAUCAUCAUACAAAGAUGUUCUGUACUGUGUUUAACUAUCAGAUUUGCACUCUGUUUGGCAAUCAUAGCAGUUGGCGAGGAUGGAACAUCCUCCAUGAUAACUGUUAAUUACAUGUUCUACAUAUUAAUUAUCGGAUUUGUCUCCAGCAAGAGUAAUAUUUUGGCUACAAAUUAACAAGAGACUGUCAUAGGGAUUAUAUAAACAAGUUGAUGCAUGAAAAGACGAGUCUCUGUUUAUAGGUAGCCACUACAAGUAGCUUCGGAGACCACAAAUACAAGGCAAGUCUCUCUAGUAAUCCUUCCACUACAAGUAGCUUCGGAGAUAGAAAAUAGCGAUUUAUUUGCUAUCAUAGGGAUGAUUCUGAACAAAGCGGCUUAAUUUCAUUUUCUUCCACCAACAAUGCCUUCGUGUCAAUGUUCAGCCCCAUGAUAAUCGAUCUAGGUCACCAUUUGCACAUUACCAUAUCUUGCAUAAGCCACGAGGAACCAAUCACAACAAAACAGGAUUGAAAACCAUGACCAUAACGGGUGCUGUGAAAUGAAUAUUGAAACAGAUGGGUGAAUUUGAUGCAGAAAUCUUCUCUUUCUCCAAAAAAGGAAAAAACGAAAAGUAGAGAGGAGACAAUGAAGCCUGCUUACCGGUCAUGGCAUUUCACCAGGGAGGCAAGGUCUUCAAAAAUGCUCAACUGUGUUCAACAACCUUUCAGGAUCUGCUUCAAUUUUCCUAAGAGAAUGGGGAACAGUGAACGGGAUCCUCGUUAGCUGCGGGCAAUCACCCACAGUAAUUUCCUCAAGAGAAUUGCAUAGAAGUCUUCCAGAAUAAAUGCUAUUGAAAUUUGGUAAUUUCUUCAAUACCAAAACCCUCAAUGUCUACUAUCCUCUGAUGGGUUCUCCCCUCUUCAUCAGUUCCCACAAUCUCCGAUCACUUGCAAUUGCAGUCUAGACAUUCUUCGACUCCGAUCACUUGCAAUUGCAGUCUAGACAACAACCAAGGAGGGAGUAGCACCUUCAUCCUAUGACAUUUGUGUAUCAUGAUCUCUCUAAGUUUGCAAAAGACACCACAGUAACCUUGCAAGCAAUUAGUGAAAUGUUAACCUAAUUUUUAACUCUUUUACUUUUACUUUUACUUUUAUUUUUAUUUUCAUUAUAUUUUCUAAAAAAUAAAAAUAAUGAUGAAAAAAACUGAAAAAGAAUUGUAAAAAAUAAAAAUAAUAAUAAUAAAAAAUAAAACCAAUGAAGAAUGAAUUUAAAUUUGGAUUAAGGAAACAUAAUUGGAAGUUUGGAGAUUUAAUUAAACUUUGGAUUAGUUUAAUUAACCAAAUCAAAGGUUUAAUUGAAGAAUUGAUAAGUUUGGGUACUUAAUUGAACUUGAGAUUAGUUUAAUUAAUGAAAUCAAGGGCUUAAUUGAAACAAUGCCAAAGUUGAGGGCUGCAUUGGGCUACAAUUGCAAGACAAUAAAAUCAGAGGACCAUGUUGUGAAUUCUCUGCAAUUAAGGAGUCAAGUUACAAUUUACCCAGGAGCUUGAUUACAAAACUGCUGGACUUCAGUGACCACACUGAAGAUGGCCAUUUGCAUCCCAAAAACGGUGCCGUUUCAGGAUGCACUAUUCAUCUUCUUCAUCUUACCAUUAAGGAAAAAAACGGACGCCAGCUGCCCGCGAUCGCCAUUACUCCAGCAUUAGCAACGGUUGGUCCCCUCGUUAUUUGGAGGCGACCGCAUGGCAUUCUCUGGCUUUAUAUAAAAGCCAGAGAAAGGUCACGGGGGGAGGGGGAACAGAGGGAAAUACCAGAAGAAAAAAAAAGCAUACAAAGGGGGGACGAACAGAAAAACAGGGGAGGACGCAUGAGAGAGAGAGACCGAGAGAGGGGGGAAGACGAAAAAAACAGAAGAGAACACAGACCGGAAUACCAGAGGUGAAGGAAAAAAAAAGGAGGAGAAAGGAACCGACAAAGGAGGGGGAGGGGAAGAAAAAAAAACCAGGAAAAACAAGGAGGAUGAACUGAGGACGAACAGAGGAGACACACCAGAGAAAGACAAAGAAAAAGGAAGACUAAAACAGAGAGGAGGAGAGAGCAAAAAGACAGUGUUCCCAGCUUUUCCUUCGUCCCCAGAAUGCAAGCAAAGUGAACAAACGAAAACAGAGAAACUACGAGCAUUGAUCAGCCUGGGCAUUCGUCUCCAGCACCACUCCGAACCAUCAGAAACAAAGGAAGAAACCCAGAAAAAAAUAACAGCAGAUAAAGAAGAACGACCCAAAAUCAGUCAAAAAAAAAACCCACAGAAAGCCGGCAUCAUCAUCAUCUUCUUAGUUCCUUCAUCUCAAGAACCGAGAAACGAACGACCACAAAAAACACCAGAGAAGACAGUGGGCACAGAAGGAAGACAAAGGAAAGCAGAAGGAAAGGACAUAAGCAAACGAGAGUCAUCACCAGCAUUGCAACCAUCUUCGUCGUCUCCAGAAGCAGGUACGCCCAUUCUCUUUUCAUUCUUUGUAUUCUUGGAAGUGUUAUUUGAACACUGUGCGAAGGUAAUGAACUUCACGUGCCUCUUGUUUUGGGCCACACACAUUUUUAUAUUAUAAAAUUCCAAAAAUCCUUGUGCAUGUUUUAAAUUUAUUUGUAGAUCCCUAUAUUUUUCACUAUAUAAUUAAUUUAUGUAUUUUUACUGUAAAAUGUAAAUCCAGUAUAAAAUAUUUUUUUAAAAUAAAAAAAUAUACAUACAUUGAUUUAAAUUUAUUUUUAUCAUUGACAUCAGAGUAAGGAAUAUCAUACGUUUUGUUUUUUGGCUAUAUAAUAUUUACCAACGUCAAAAUUAGAAAUAUUCAUAAUUGAAUAUUCACAUACGCUACAAUCAAAAAUAUUAUAAACAAAUUAUCAUAGCAUAAACCAACAAACUUUUAGCAAUUUAAGACACAAAACCAGUAAUGUAGUUUGUCACGGAUGGAAUGUUUAAGGAUGAUAAUAUCUUUUUCACAUAACCAAUGUCGUACAAUAUAAUCUUUAUUGAUUAGUUAGGAUUUCUAAUAACCAUAAUACUAGAAGUAUGUAACUUCUUAAACAAGACUUUUUUCAUUCCAAGAACAAAAAAUAUGUUCUUUUCAAUUCAAUUUUUUUUUAAGAGUUUGUUCUUUUCAAUUUAAUUUUUUUAAUGCUGCCACGAUGUGAGAUGAGACACGUUAAAAUUGGAAAAUUUCAAACUCUAUUAGAUAAUGGAAGUUACAUUUCAAUGUUUCCAACUUCUCCAAUGCCGUAAGCUUUGCUAAUGAUGGUACAUAACUCAGCUUUGCACACCAUCCCAGCAACAAUACAGUUAGACUUACCAGAUGAGAAAUAGAAUCUGGCAAGCGCUCUAUGUUUGCCUCCGACAGAUCAAGAACCUCGAGUCUUUUGAAUUGCUGGAAAAAAGGCUACUGUGGAGAAACUCAACCAAUUUCAAUUCGUAGUUUCUGCAUAACAAUAAUGUUGACCUAUCCUUGAUUCUAUUUUCCAUGAGAGAAACUCUUGAUAGAUCCUCUCUCCACCAUCUUACAUCAGGUAACUCUGUUAAUUGGGCACCUACUUUAACCAUAGCCCUUGAACUUUCUUUCAUUAUUUUCACAGCCAUAUCCCUAAUCAAACCAUGCAUCUUGACAUAUCUGUACUUUUCAUCAUCCUUGGAACCUUGUAAUAAGCUAGCAUUUUCAAGUUGAUUAAGCAUGGGUUGCCCCUAUCAAAUUGUGCUUGCCUGCUCAAUCAGAUUGUGCUAGCAUUUUCAAGUUGAUUAAACUUUCCAUUUCUUCAACUAUACCAUCAUCAAUCAAAUACUCAAUCAGGUCUUCAUGUCUUUUGGAAACAAUGCACAGUAUAAGCACUCUUUCAUUGCUUUAUUUUUUAACCAAACAUAACUAUAUUUCAAUAUCCGAAACACAUCGGUUUCCAUGUCACAUGUUCCAAUUUCUGAACUUGCCAGUUCCCGCACUUCUCCACUGAGAUACAUCAUCCACUCCCUUCAUGCUUCCAGCCCUUGUCAUGAUUCUGAGAGCCAAACCAGAUUAGUACUUCUUCACAAUAGACUCUGCAAUCUGUUUCGUUGUAGGAGAAAGUGCAAUACCAUUCCCUAAUUUGUCUAUGAACAAAUUCCAAGCUUCACCCUCAGAAAUAGGCUCCACUUUGAUUAUCCUUUCACAAUCCAUUCUAUUACAUAUGCCCAAUGAUCUAGUUGUGAGAAUCAAUUUACGCCCAUUUGUUCUACGAGAUAUUCCCACUUUCUCAGGAUGAAAAUCAUCCCACAAAUCAUCAAGAAUGAUAACAUGGUUUUGUAUCACACUCAUUGUUGUCCAUAGCUUCCCAGCUCUACUCGUCACAUCUUUUUCCUUUCGGAAGACAUAAACCAAAAGCUUCGGCAAUGAGAUCCUGCAAUGCAUGAAUGCUAAAUUCUUGUGACAUAGUAAUCCUGUUGGGAUAUUGCCGCUUAUGUUGCAACAUCUGCAGCCCAUCUUCUAGAAGAAGAUGGAUGUCAUUAUUAAAGAAAAAAGGCUAGUUUGUGAGAGUCAAAAAGAGUUGCUGGUACAACAAUCAAAAGUCAUAAAGUAAGUAAAUGUUAGGUAGUCAUCAUUGUUGACAAAUGAGUAAGAGAAGCUACCAUUAAAGCCUAUAAAUAAAGGCAUCACUUGAAGAGCAAAAGGUGAGAGUUGAGAGAGUGUGAAGAGAAGAGAGGAAAAGAAAAAGAGGAGUGGCUACCAAGGACAGCAGUCCUGCUACCAUGUGCAGCAGUGUCGGAGAGCAAUGGAAGUUUAGUAAGAGUUUGAGUGAAGUGAACCUCCUCCUCCAUGUUUUUUGUAACCAUUUCUCUAUCUCUAAUAAUAUUGGUUCUUUUCCUGUGGAUGUAGGCAGUUUGCCGAACCACGUUAAAUAUUAUGUCAGUAUACUUAGCCUCUAAUGGACAACUAUCAGUAUAUCACUGGUCGGAAUCCCCAACAAAUCCAACAAACAUGAAAAAAAAUGCUUGGUUUCUCUUGAAGCUGAUUAUAGAUAUGUGCAUCUAAAGUUGUCUUUCUCACUCCCCCAUCCCGUACAUGCCAAUGCAUGAGACCUCACCUCACCAUUCAACAACCAAUACCAGACAUCCUUCAUAUUUCUUUCAAUAGCUUGACCCACUAGCUUCGUUGUCGGGAAUACAUAUCUUUUAGUCCUACGUCGCUUAUGUACAGGCCUUUUAGAAUAGCUUACCGUGUAAUUUCUCAAGUCAUGUUCUCUAUAUAAAUUCUUAACAAAACAUCCCUCGUUGAUGAGGAUGAGACGUUAUUCAAGAUCAUUUCAAAUGCCUGGCAUGUUUUCUUUGUUCUCUGUCUAGUCUCGGGUUCAUCUGGCAUAAGUACAACAUGAGCUCUAGGUUCCUCAACAAUCCCAAUCUCCCCCCUGAUCCAGAUAUCCAUCCAUCCUAGGCUCUCAUAAAAAAGAGGAGGUUCUUCUUGUUCCAUUUCUAAACACCGCCCAGGAGUUGAAGCUGCAUUAAUUGCCUCGUUAUUGCUUGAACUUGGCACGCUCUUAUCUACAGGCCUGUUAGAAGUGUUAGAAAUAACACUCUUAUGAAGCUCACAUGAUUGAUGGAAAUUGCAUAAUCUUAUUUGAUAAACGAGUGCUGCUUAAAUACAGCUUCUUACAAACAGAAAUGAGAAAAACUAGCUACUGCAGAUGUUAUUUUACGUGGAUCAAAUCACUAAUAUUAUGGCUUGAGAAGAGGUCCUAUUUGACUGCCAUAAUCCUAGAAAAAUAGCCACAAUCCCAGAAUGAUAGGAAUAGGAUUUUAUUUCUGCAGACUUCUUCAAACUGAACCUUCCUAAUAUAUCCUCCCCUAAACUGAGCAUGUUGUGCAUUUGCUCAGUUUAGAUCCUUCUUCUCUUGUACUCCCAAGAGCAUUCGAAGUUUUACAAAAUCUUCAAGUUUAAGCGGCUUUGUCAGAAUGUCUGCUAGCUGCUCCUUAGUGCCACAGUAGAUGAGCUCUACUUCUCCCUUUUUGAUAAGAUCUCGAAUAAAAUGAAAUCUUACAUUGAUGUGCUUUGUUCUCCCAUGAAAUACUGGAUUCUUGGACAAUUUAAUGGAUGAACUAUUAUCCCAGAACACAGUAACACAUUUACACUGAUCUUCUUCAAUGCUAUUUAGAACUUCCUUCAUCCAUAUACUUUGGCAUGCACAAGUGGUGGCUGCUACAUACUCUGCUUCAGUAGUUGAUAGAGUAACUAUUGGUUGCUUUUUGGAGCUCCACGCCACUGCACCAUCUCCCAACAUGAACACAUACCCAAAAGUGUUUUUCCCCCCAUCCAAGUCACCCGCAAAGUCACUAUCAGUGUAUCCUUUAAGGGUGUUGUCCGAGCUUUUUUUGUAGAAAAUACCAAACUUCAUUGUCCCCUUUAGGUACCUGAGUAUUCUUUUUGCAGCUAGUAGAUGUCCUUCCUUCGGUGCAGCCAUGAACCUGCUUAGAAAACUCACUACAUACAUUAUAUCAGGUCGCGUUGUUGUGAUAUACAUGAGGCUGCCAAUUAAUUGCUUGUAUUCGGUGCUGUCAAUUUCUUCUCCUUUCUCUUGUGAUGAUAGUUUAGUUCCUGGAACCAUAGGGUUAUUGACUGCAUUGCAGCUGCUCAUUCCAAACCUUGCAAGUAUUUCAUUUGCAUAUUUUCCUUGACAUAAGAAAAUUCCAGCCUCUGUUUGAUGUACCUCUAUACCAAAAAAAUACUUCAUCCUCCCUAGAUCAGUCAUAUCAAAUUCUGACUGCAUGGAGGCUUUAAAUUUUUCACAUAACAUCACAUUAUUACCAGUAAAGAUUAAGUCAUCCACAUACAAAAUUACCACCAAAAAACUUCCUCCUUCCUUCUUUAUGAACAAGGUGUGUUCAUAGCUGCAUUUGUUGAAACCUUCAACAGCAAAGUAAUCCUCUAACUGACUGUACCAAGCUCUAGGGGCUUGUUUCAAUCCAUUUAAUGCCUUCUUUAGUAGAUAUGCUUUGUACUCUUCUCCCUUUCGAAUGUAUCAUUCGGGUUGUUCAAUAUAAACAACCUCAUUCAGUUCUCCGUGAAGAAAAGCGCUAUUUACGUCAAGCUGAAAGACUUCCCAACCUCGCAGUGCAGCUAGAGAGAGUAGCAUUCUGAUGGUGUCCCAUCUAGCGACUGGCGAGAACACUUCGUUGUAAUCUAUUCCUUAUCUUUGAUCAUAACCCUUCACAACCAGUCUUGCCUUGUGCUUAUCGACCUCUCCUUUUUCAUUCAAUUUGGUUUUGAAAACCCACUUCACUCCAAUCUUUUUCAUUCCUUUAGGUAGGUCCACUAACUCCCAUGUAUUGUUUUUCUCGAUAGCUUGUAUCUCAGUGUCCAUGGCAUUUUUCCAUUUAAUGUCUUUUACGGCAUCACCGUAACUUACUGGAUCAUCUUCAGUAGCAUAGAGCACUAAGUAUUGCUCUUCCUCUUCUUCCUCUGCAAGAUUUUCACCAGUUACAUAAUCUUGCAGGUGUCUUGGAGGUAUGCUGAUCCUUUUUGUCUGCUCCCUUCGAGUAUCCUGAGAUUGAGCAAGGGUUGUACUUCUUGCCUUCUCUGUUUGUGCUGCAGCCUGCUCAUUUGGUAUGCCAUCUUCUUCUCUGCUUGUUCCAUUGAAUGAUUCUGUGUCAUCCCAAGUUAAUUCCUCUUGUUCAUCAUCUGUCCUCCCCCAAUUCCAUGUCUCCUUUUCAGCAAAGAUCACGUCUCUGCUGGUGAUGAUUUGCUUGCUCUCGGGAUCGUAAAGUCUAUAGGCUUUAGACUCUUCACUGACUCCCAGGAAUACACAUUUAUGGCUUUUAUCUUGUAGCUUGAUCCUCUUCACAUCCGGUAUAUAUGCAUAGGCAACACAUCCAAAAACUCUAAAAUGUGCCACAUUAGGCUUGUUUCCAGUCCAGCACUCUUUUGGAGUUUUAUUUGUAAUUGAUGCAGUAAGACUUCAGUUGAUGAUGUGUACAGACCACUUUGCUGCUUCUGCCCAUAAAUUCCUUGGCAUUUUUCCUUCAACAAGUAAACAUCAAACCAUGUUCAUGAGAGUUCAGUUUUUACGUUCAGCAACUCCAUUUUGCUGAGGAGUGUAUGAUGUGUUGAACUGUCUCUUGAUUCCCUGGGUGCUGCAAAAUUCUUGAAAAACUUGGGAAGUGUAUUCUCCUCCUCGAUCGCUUCUAAGACACCGAAUGCUCAUCCUGUCUCUUUCUUAACUUUGGUUUUAAAGUGUUUGAACUUCUCAAAAGUUUCUCCUUUUUCUGCCAGUAAAUAAAGCCAUGUUUUUCUACUAAAGUCAUCUAUGAAUGUCAGAAUAUACCUCUUGUUGCUCAUGGUAGUUGGAGUGAUUGGUCCACAGAGAUCUGAGUGGAUAAGCUAACUUUUCUGAUGCUCUCCAGUUAGCUUUCUUUGGCAUCUCUUCUCUGUGUUGCUUCCUUUUGUUGCAUACUUCACACACUUUGCUUACUUCUAUGAUUUUAGGCAUCCCUUCCACCAUUUGCUUGAAGUGCAAGCUUCAGAGUCCUUUCUGAUGUAGGUGACCAAAAUCAUCUAUGCAAAGCCCUGUGAGAUCCUCUUGUGUUACUUGCAGACAUGCAUCAUUGUGUUGUUCAGUAAGCAUGACAAACAUUCGGUUUGUAGUCAUAUAUGUGUGUACAAUCAGUCCCUUUGUGGGAUGAAGGAUAUUGCAGGCUCCUCUUUGCAUUAUCACUGUCAGAUCUUUCUCCUACAGCUGCCCAACACUUAACAAAUUGUUUGUUAAGUCUGGCACAUAAUAUACAUCACUUAUGAUUUGUGUUCUUCCUUGAACUCUCAGUUUAAUGUUCCCAAGACCCAUAACCUGCAUCCGAGCAUUGUUUCCCAGCUUCACAGUGUGUGAGAACUCCUCAUUCAAUGUAACAACCACCUUUUGUUACCUGUCAUAUGGUUGGAACAUCCUGAAUUGAUGAACCAAACAUCUUCUCUGUUUGAUCCCCUCAUUUCAACGUGAGCCAUGAGUAAAAGUUCUUCUUCAUCAUCCAGCUCAACAUAAUGUGCGUUUGUUUCCCAGGUAGGGCAUUCAUACUGAAAAUGCCCUGGCCUGUGACAUUUGAAGCAUUUCAUUGUGCCUCUGCCAAACACCUGCCUUCCUCUCCCUCUGUUUGGUCCUCUAAAGCUGAUACCUCCUCUUCCUCUAUUAGUGUUUAUUCUGCCUUCUCCAAUUGAAGUAUGCAACACCUGCUCCUCGUUUUUAUCUUUUUCCAGCCUUUUGAAUUUGGCUUCGUGAACUACAAGAGAACUUUGUAAUUCAUCAACUGUCAUGGAGCUCACAUCCUUGGAUUCUUCUAUCGAGACCACCACAUAAGUAAACCUCUUUAUCAAGGUUCGGAGCAUUUUUUUCGACCACCUUUGUGUCUGGCAUAAUCUCCCCGUUACUCCUCAUUUGGUUAGCAACUGAUGUAACUCUAGCAAAGUACUCUGUAAUUGACUCACUUUGCUUCAUUUGCAGAAUCUCAAAGUCUCUUCUCAGUGUGUUGAGAAGAUAUUUCUUCACCUUUGAAUUCCCUCCAAACUUGCUCUUCAAUGAAUCCCACACAAUCUUUGAUGUGCGCCUGUCUAAGAUCUACUCAAAUGUAACUCUAUCUAUUGCUUGAUAUAGAUAGUGUUUCACUUGAUGAUCUUUCAUCUUGGCAUCAUCAUGUUUUGUCUGCUGCGUAUUAGUAAGCGCAGUUCCAAUGAUUGGCUCCUGAACAUCAAUCUCCACAAGACUCCACAACCCUUUUGCUCUCAGCAAGUUUUCCAUCAAUUCACUCCAAUGAUCAUAAUGUUGACCAUCAAAAUGAGGAAUCUUCGUUAAACUAUUAUCCUCACUCAUUUUCUUUCUUCUUGUUAUCGAGCUGCACUUUUGUUGUGUUUGAAUCUAAAGAGGCUCUGAUACCACUGUUAGAAAUAACACUCUUAUGAAGCUCACAAGAUUGAUGGAAAUUGCAUAAUCUUAUUUGAUAAACGAGUGCUGCUUAAAUACAGCUUCUUACAAACAGAAAUGAGAAAAACUAGCUACUGUAGAUGUUAUUUUACGUGGAUCAAAUCACUAAUAUUAUGGCUUGAGAAGAGGUCCUCUUUGACUGCCAUAAUCCCAGAAAAAUAGCCACAAUCCUAGAAUGAUAGGAAUAGGAUUUUAUUUCUGCAGACUUCUUCAAACUGAACCUUCCUAAUAAGAAGAGCUUCCUCUCUCAGCAACAGACUGCAUCAAUUCCCAAGUCAUGUUCUCUAUACCACUACUUGAAUCAACAUCCCUCAUCAAUGAAGAUGGGAUGUUUUUCAUAUCCAUUUCAAAUGCUUGACCUGCUGGCUCUGUUUCCAAUCCAAUCUCAGGUGCAUCAGGCAUAAGCAUCCUAGGAACCAUGGUCUCCUCAGUAAGCACAAUCUCUCCCCCAAUCAUCCUAUCCAUCCACGCCAAUCCAUCAUCCAAAAGAGGUUGUCCUUUUUUACUGUGGACAGCACGCUAACAUUGCAAACGAUGAGAAAGAGCGUGAUCCACAGAUGGAGAGAAAGAAAUAGGCCAAGAAAAGAGAAAGCAGUAGAGUAGACAUCCUUAAGAGCAGUAUGUUCACAAAUGGAGAGCAGUAUAUAUGUAUAGUUUUCAUUAUCGGUUCUUUUAAUUAUACUCAAAUCCGACUCAAACAAUAAUUGUUUAUAAAACAUUUAAUUCAUUCGGAUUGGUUUUGUAGAGUAGUUAUCAGUUAAGGUGAAACUGUAAUCUGUACCUCCAGAUGUUAGAAAGAUAUGCCAGGCUUUUAGAAAUAAAAGGUUAUGAGCAUUCAUGUAUGGAUUUGAUCUUCUAGUUAGAUGGUCUAACAUAUUUUUUUAUGUUUAAGUAGGACAAGCCUAAACUUAAACCAAGGUUUGAUUAUUUCAGGCUAUGUUAAUAUCUUAAAAAUGAGUUAUCUAGAGAACCAGUCGUUGAAUCAAACUUAAAAUUUUUUCAAGUGAUUAAAAAGAUAAUUUUCCUACAAGAAGCGAUUGUCUUUACACCGAUUGAUCUUCCAAAAUUAGGUUUCAAUCCUGGAUGCUCUUGUGUGGGAAAAUUUUGUUAUUUUUCCUAGGGUGUUUCAGAUUUCUUGCAUUAUUGUAGGUUUUGUUUUAUUUUUCUUAAAAUUUUUGGACUUUGAGUUGUCUCUUAGUAUAGCUAGAUUAAAAAAGCAAUUCUCCUAGGCACUUAGACUUGAUAGUGUGUCAAGUCUAGGAUAGCAUAUGUUUGACACACAUGUUAAACCCAAAAUGUUUGAACUUAACAGUCAGUCAAACUCAAGAUAACAUGAAUGGUAGCAUGGGCCUGACAUGCUUGCAAGACCCAAGGUAGCGUGGGUCUGGCAUGCAUGUUUAGACCUAGCAGUUAGACACAUUCAAGAUAAUGACAAUCCUCCCUUGACAUGUCUAAAGGAAUGACCAACCUCCCUUGGAUCUAACCCCAGAAAAGAACAUGGUCUCUAUAGGCUUAGCUAAAUUUAACGUCUUAAACUCUAAUCUUCCUAUACCUUUUUAGAUGUAUAAAAAUUUUUCAAAGAUACACCACAUUCCUAUCAGAUAAGAUAUAUUUAUCUCUCAUUAAAUAUUAUCAAGAUAAUUACACGACGGGCUCUUUUUUAAUAAAAGAAUAAGAUUUGUAGGUUAUAAAUACAUAUUGAAAGCUUCAUAACAAAGGUUUACAAUUUUCAAUUUUCUACUACAUUUAUAUUUUCAGAGUAUCUUUUUAGAAUAUUCUUGUAUUUUAUUUCUCUCAAAAAAUACUAACUUUAUAAGAUGAUAUUUAAAUCUCCCAAUUAAAAUUAUUUUGUUGCAGGUAUCCAAGAUCUUCUUGGUGAAUUUAAAAUAUUUUAGAAUAUAAAAAAAAUCCAAAUAUUUUAACAUAUUAAUAAACCACUAUCCCUAACAUCAAAUAUCUUUUUAUUUUAUGUUCUUGAAUUUUUAAACUUCAUCAUCUUCAUAUUUCUUUCAAACGCUUGGCCCACUAGCUUUGCUGCUGCCAAUACGUAUCUUCUAGUCCAAGAACACUUGUGUACAGGCCUUUCUAGAAGAGCGUCCUCUCUCAACAAAUGACUGGUGUGCUUGCUCUGUUCUUUGUCUAGUCUCGGGUUCAUUUCUUAGUCCAUUUCUUAAUUUGUGUUUGGUAUGCAUGAAAGAUACUUUUUUAAAUAAUUUUAAUUGAAAAUAAAUCAAACAAUAUUUUUUAAUUUUAUUUUUAAUAUUAGUAAAUCAAAAUAAUUGAUAAAUAAUUAAAUAAUAUCACUGAGAUGCUUUUUUAGAACUAGAAAAAUCUUCUAAAUGAAUAAUAGAAAAGAAAAGAAAAGAGAAGAAAGCUAAGCUUUACAACUGGAAAAAACAUUAUCAGCACUGGAUAAAUAUGAAAUGUUUAAGUUAAGCUGAAAUUCUGAAAUGUUUAUUUCUAUCACCCUCCCGAGCACUCCUUACAUAAAUAGCAUGACGUCAUACCUUUACUAUGAGGUAAAGGUUCCAAUACCAAAAUACAAAACAAUCCCUAGAAAUCAUAAAAUCCUAAUUUCAUCCCCGGAAUAAUAGCGUAUGGCUAGAAAUCAUGGAACAUUGUCAACUGUGUUCAGCAAACUUUCAGGAUCUACUUCAAUUUUCUUAAGAGAAGGGGAAAUAGCGAUCGGGAUCCUCGUUAGCUGCGGGCAAUCACUCACAGUAAUUUCUUCGAGAGAAUCGCAUAGAAGUCUUCCAGAAUAAAUGCUUUUCAAAUUUGGUAAUUUCUUCAAUACCAAAACCCUCAAUUUAUCAAAUCUACGAAAAGGAGAGGAAUCUUCACCACUUCCCAUUAUCUCCUGCAUGUUGUAACAAUCUUCGACUACAAUCACUUCCAAUCGGCCCAACAAGCAUGAUUUUGAAGGUUCAUUAUGUAUCAACCGAGGAGGGAGCAGCACCUUCAUCCCAUGACAUUUAUGUAUCACCAUCUCUCUGAGAUUGAAAAAGACAGCAGAACAACCUAGCUCUGAAGGGUAGAAUCUCAAGCCCUGUCCCUGUACUUCAAAAAGGGUUUCUACAACUUCAGAUUUCUGAUGAAGCUUGAGGAACUGUAAUUUUGAGAGUUUGGGUAAAAUACCCGACCGUAAAACACGCACCCCGCUUCCAUCAAGAUUAAGAUACCUGAGAUCCUUCAGCCUUUCCAUUCCCUCGGGCAAAUCUUCAAGUCCAGUGUAACUGAGAUCCAACUUCUCCAAUGCCUUAAGCUUUGCUAAUGAUGGUACAUAACUCAGCUUUGCACACCAUCCCAGCAACAAUGCAGUGAGUCUCGUCAGAUGAGAAAUAGAAUCCGGCAACUUCUCUAUAUCUGUGUCGGAAAGAUCAAGAACCUUGAGUCCGAUGAGAUGCUGGAAAAAAGAAUCCUCCACCAAAUUCAAUUUGUAGUUUCUGCAUAACAAUAAUGUUGAGAGACGGGGGCACAUUGGUGAAAAGCCUGUUGGAAUAUUCUCGAUUCUAUUUUCCAUGAGUGAAACUCUUAACAGAUCCUCUCUCCACAAUCUUACACCGGGUAAUUCUGUUAGCUGUGCACCUGCUUGAACCAUAGCCCCCCCACUUUCGUUCAAUAUUUUCCAAGCCAUAUCCCAAAUCAAAUCAUGCAUCUUGACAUAUCUGUAAUCUUCAUCGUCCCUGGAACCUUCUAAUAAGCUGGCAUCUUCAAGUUGAUCAAGCAUGGUAUGGCCCCUAUCAAAUCGUGCAUGCCUACUCCCCAUUUCUUUGACUAUACCCUCGUCAAUCAAAUACUCUAUCAAGUCCUCUCUCCAGAUGAUCUUGCCUUUUGGAAAUAGUGUGAUAUGUAAGAAGCACUCUUGAAGUGCUGAAUCGUUCAACUGAGCAUAGCUAAAUUUCAAUACUCGAAAUACAUUGGCUUCCAUCUCACCUGGUCCAACUUCUAAUCUUCUCAGUUUUAGCAAUGCAUCUCUCCAACGAUAUUCACCAUCCACUCCCUUCAUGCUUCGAGCCAUUGUCAUGAUUCCAAGAGGCAAACCAGCACACUCCUUCACAAUAGACUCUGCGAUCUCAGGAUAAAGUGUACCACCACGCCCUAAUCUGUAUAUGAACAGAUCCCAAGCCUCACCCUCAGAAAGAGGCUCCACUUUGAUUAUCCUUUGGCAAUCCAUUUUUCGACAUAUCUCCAGUGAUCUCGUUGUGAGAAUCAACUUCCACCCGUCUGUUCUAAGAGGUAUUCCCACUUCAUCAGGAAGAAAAUGACCCCACAAAUUAUCAAGAAUUAAAAAACCUUUUUUUUUCACAUUCAACUCUGUCAACAGCUCCCCAGUUCUCACCAUCGCAUCAUUUUCAUCCAAAGGUUUUAAAUCCAAAACCUCAGCAAUGCGACCCUGCAAUGCAUGAAUGCUAAAAUCUUGUGACAUAGUAAUCCAACGAACAGGAUGAAACAUGCCUAGUUUCUCGUGAAGCUGAUUAUAGAUAUGUGUAGCCAAAGCUGUCUUUCCCACCCCCCCCAUCCCACAAAUGCCAAUGCAUGAGACCUCAUCAUUCAACAACCAACCAGACAUCAUUCAUGUUUCUUUCCAUAGCUUGGCCCACUAGCUUUGUUGUCGGCAAUACAUAUCUUCCAGUCCUACGUUUCUUAUGUACAGGCCUUUUAGAAGAGGGCCGUCUCUCAACAACAGACUGCAUCAAUUCCGGACUCAUGGUCAGUCUACCAGUUCUUAACUCAAAAUCCCUCAUUGAUGAGGAUGAGAUGUUAUUCAAGUUCAUUUCAAAUGACUGAUGUGCUUGCUCUGUUCUUUGUCUAGUCUCGGGUUCAUCUGGCAUAAGAACGACAGGAGCUCUAGGUUCCUCGACAAGCUCAGUCUCCCCCCCAAUCAGAAAACCCUUCCGUCCUCGUUCAUCCGAAAGAGGUUGUUCUUCUUGUUCCAUUUCUAAGCCCCGCAAAGCAGUUGAAGCUGCAUUAAUUCCCUCGUUAUUGCUUGAACUUGGCACACUCUUAUCUACAGGCAUUUUAGAACAGCUUCCUCUCUCAGUAACAGCCUGCAUCAAUUCCCGACUCUCUAUACCACUGCUUAACUCAACUUCCCUCGUCAAUGAAGAUGUGAUGUUAUUCAUAUCCGUUUCAAAUGCUUGAACUGCUGGCUCUAUUCCCAAUCCAGUCUCAGGUGCAUCGGGCAUAUGCAUGCUAGGAACCAUGGUCUCCUCAGGAAGCACAAUCUCUUCCCAAGUCAAGCUAUCCAUCCAUGAAAAAUCAUCCAAAAGAGAUUGUCCUUGUUGUUGCAUUUCUAAAUCUUGCGCAGGAUCUGAAUCUGCAGUAACUAUUAUAUUAUUGCUUGAACUUGGCAUGCUCCCACGCAUUCUGUCAGGAAGCUUAUCAAACGCUGCUCGUUGAACAUCUGGAGUUACUUUUUCACAAAUUUUAACACCACCCCUCCAACUCUUGCCAGAUGAUAUUUCAUCCUUGUAGUGGAAGUGCUUCCAGCCAAUGUCUUCACAAAAAAUGCACUUCAAUAAACCACCAUCCACUUUCUCAAAAUAACGAAAUGGAUCACUUCCUCCAGCCAUUUUUUCUUCUGUGUCCCUACAUACAGACAUAACAAAGAACUUUCAGAAUAUUGAAUUAAAAUGGAACUUAAACUAAUUGAAAAAAAGAAGAAGCUAAGUUUAAGAUAAAAAAAAAAUUGAUUACAGUGUUUCACUGUCUAAACCAAAGUCAAGUUAAACCACUCCAAAGAUCAUAGUGUUCUUUUUUACUUUCCCAAUAAUUCUACAACUGGUCAUAUCAGUAAUUUAAUAACCAGUAUGUUUCUUUUUGCUUAGAAGAAUCAAACUACAUGAGUUGGAAAAGAAAUGGUAUGAAAUUAGAGCUAAAAUUAAUCAAACUUAAUUACCUGAGCAGCAGAUGCAGCAAGAUGUUAUCCAAUUAUUUGAUUAAAUCAGAAGAAAGAAGAUGGACGGGGAAGAGUAAGUGUGUUGGAGACGCGUGAUAGAGCUUCGGCUUGUUUGGUUGUGGAUAAGGAUAGAUUCAGACAGUCAGAGAAGCAGAUGACAGUGAAAAAAAGUAAAAUGGACUUCUGUCGUUCAUGGAUGUCAUAUGGACAUGUUGUUGGUCUUCCAGGAAGCGGAUCCGGCGAGGGGUGCUCUAGUGAAGGCGUGGGGGUAGGCGGUGGCUGAUGAUAGUCUCCUCGUGUGGUGGACAGCACGCCAACUUUGCAAACGAUGAGAAAGAGCACGAUCCACCACAAAACAGCAGAAGAGAAAGCAGGAAGAAAAGGGAGCAGGGUCGACCGAGAGAGAAGUAGAGCUGACCCAGAGAGCGGUAUCUUCACAAAUGGAGAGGUUUGUGUUUUCUGUAGGUGGUAGAAAAAAGAGACAGAGGAUGAGAGACAACAGAGAGGGAGAGUACCUGUUUGUUUGCUGGUUUUUUUUAAAAAGAGUUAAUUUCCAGAAAUAACAAUGAAGUUACUGAUUGAAACAUUGGUCCACCACCCUCAGGUCAAUGAUGAAGAAUUGCAGGGUUCUUGGUUAUUUCUUCUGGUCUAGAAGUCUUUGCCGUGUAACAAUCUAUCACGGUAUGAAAGAUGCACGUAUUAUAGGGUAGAAAUCAAUGGCAAAGGGAAGAGAUGAAAGAAGAAGGACCUUCAAAAUCCUAAAAAAAAUAUUAUUAAUAUAUUUUUUUUCAUUUUAUUUGUUGUCCAUAUUUUAUUUUUUAAUAAUAUUAUUAAAUUAACCGAGUCAGUUGACAAAAAUAUUAAAUCACAUUGCUUUUAAAAUAUUUUAUAUUUCAGUCUUUUGUGGCAUUAACAAUGAAGUUACUGAUUGAAACAUUGGUCCACCACCCUCAGGUCAAUGACGAAGAAUCGUAGGGUUCUUGGUUAUUUCUUCUGGUCGAGAAGUCUGUGCCGGGUAACAAUCUAUCACGGUAUGAAAGUUGCACGUAUUAUUUAGCCUGUGAUUGCUUAUAUAAUGAUAACUGUGAAGAACUGAGUUCUUUAUUUCACUUUAUUCAUCGGUGUUUCGAAUAAAUAUUAUACAGGAACACAAAGGCCUUUUAUAGACCUUUGCAAAGACUCCUAACAGACUAGGAGAUAAGUCUCGUAAGUGAUAGACUUUGUGUACAACAGACUAACGUAGAGUUCUUAACAGAAUAGGAGAUAAAUGUUACGUAGAGUUCUUAACAGACUAGGAGAUAAAUAUAACAAUCUUCUACACUCCCCCUCAAGUUGGUGCAUAGAUGUUUUGCAUGCCCAACUUGUCUAACACUUGGUGAAAGACUUUACUUGACACAGCCUUAGUAAGAAUGUCUGCCAAUUGAUCUUGAGAUCGAACAUGAGGAACUUCAAUUACCUUGGCUUCCAAUUGUUCUUUAAUAAAAUGUCUGUCAAUCUCCACAUGCUUUGUUCGAUCAUGUUGAACAGGAUUGUGAGCGAUGUCACAUGCGGCCUUGUUAUCACAAUAUAACUUCAUAGGAGAUGUUGUUGAAAUCCUGAGUUCCUGUAGCAAAUUUUUAAUCCACAACAGCUCACAUACACCUUUAGCCAUGCCUCUAUACUCUGCUUCCGCACUAGAUCUAGCGACAACUCCCUGUUUCUUGCUUCGCCAUGUAACCAAGUUUCCACCAACAAACGUCAAGUAUCCUGCAGUUAAACGCCUAUCAUCAAUUGAGCCAGCCCAAUCUGCAUCAGUGUAGCCUUCAAUGUUUAAGGUCUCUCCCUUAGUGAACACGAUUCCUUUGCCUGGAGAGGAUUUCAAAUACUGUAGGAUACGCAUUACUGCCUUCAUAUGUUCUUCACUUGGAGAGUGCAUAAAUUGGCUAACAACACUGAGAGGGUAUGCCAAGUCAGGUCUAGUGUGGGAGAGAUACAUUAACCUUCCUACUAGCCUCUGAUAUUGUUCUUUAUUUACAGGAAUCUGAUUAGAAUAUGUACUCAACUUGACAUUUUCUGCAGCAGGUGUAUCACUUGGUUUGCAGGCUAACAUGCCAACUUCAUUAAGCAAAUCAACUAUGUAUUUUCGUUGUGACAAGAGUAUACCAGUGCUGGAUCUCAAGACCUCGAUUCCUAGGAAGUACUUUAAAGGUCCGAGGUCUUUCAUUUCAAAUUCACGGGAGAGAUAAGUUUGUAGGGCUUCCUUUUCAAUAGCAUCAUUUCCUGUUACAAUCAUGUCAUCAACAUAUAUAAUUAAUAGUGUGAGCUUUCCUUCAUUAUGCUUUAUGAAGAGAGUAUGAUCAGAACUACUCUGUUGAUAACCAAAUGCCUUCAUUGAGCUUGUAAAUCUGCCAAACCAAGCUCUUGGUGAUUGCUUUAAACCAUAUAAUGAUUUGCGCAAUUUACACACUUGUUUGCUCCCUUCAACCUGUAACUUACAUCCUGGAGGUAACUCCAUGUAUACUUCUUCUUGGAGAGUCCCGUGCAGGAACGCAUUCUUUACAUCAAAUUGAUGUAGUGGCCAAUCAAAAUUUACAGCUAAUGAUAAGAGAAUGCGUACAGUAUUUAUUUUGGCCACUGGUGCAAAAGUUUCUGCAUAAUGAAUUCCAUAUGUUUGGCUAUAUCCUUUAGCCACAAGCCGAGCUUUAAACCUCUCAAUCCAUCAGCUUUGUAUUUGACUGAGAGUCCAUCUGCAUCCCACAUGUUUUCUUCCACAGGUAAAUCAACCAUCUCCCAUGUUGUUUCUUUGGAGAGAUUUCAUCUCUUCGUUCAUUGCAUUUUUCCAACUAGGAUCUUUUAUAGCUUCCUGCACAUUAUUAGGAACCUGUACAAUAGAUAAUUGAUUUGCAAAUGAUUCACGUUCCUUUGACAACCUGUGGUAAGAUACAUAAUUGUUUAUUGGAUAUUUAGGGGCAGAAGUUCGGACAGGUUCAUAACUAACUCUAGGAAUUCCUCUUGUGGUACAAUUGGGAAGGAUACAGAGUGGAAGUUCAAGAUUUACCUGAGAUUCAUUUGGUGGUGACGACUCAUGAGGACUAGGAGCAUCAAGUGAAGAUAAUUAAAGUUGUGGUACAUUCAAUUCAACUAUAUUAGGAUGAUCACACAGUGCAAGCUCAUUUGUCGUUGGCUCAGUGGUUGUAUCUGUAUGUUCUGGUCCUACCAGUUCAGGUUGUUCAAGUUCAGUCAAAGUAUGACUUAUGUUCUCACUCUGAUAAGUAAAAGACUUCAAGUCACUACUCUCCCCUCCCUGAUUUGUUGUUGCAGGAAAGUACAUUUGGUGUUCAUGAAACUGUACAUCCAUGGUAACAUACACUUUGUGAGUUGGUGGAUGGAAGCACCUGUACCCUUUCUGAUGGAGACCAUAACCAAUAAAAACACAUCGGAGGGCACAUGGUUGAAGUUUAUGGCGAGCAUGUUUUGGUAUGUGUACAAAGGCAGUGCAACCAAACACUUUUGGGGGCAAGUUCAGUAUGAGUGAUGAGGGUAGGCUUUGAUUUAAUGUUUCAAGAGGUGUUUGGAAGUCUAAGCUGCGAGAUGGAAUACGGUUUAUCACAUAUGAAGCAGUGGCAAGUGAUUCUCCCCAAAAAUGAAGGGGCAUUUUGGCUUCAAUAAUUGUAGCUCGAACCAUUUCCAGAAGAUGUCUAUUUUUUCUUUCUGCAACCCCAUUUUGCUGAGGGGUAUAGGGGCAUGUAGUCUGGUGAAUUAUGCCCUGACCAUGUAAAAAUUUCCUCAUCUCAUGAUUGACAAACUCUCCACCAUUAUCAGUGCGAAGGACUUGAAUUGAAGUUUUAUAUUGAGUAGCAACCAUUGAAUAAAACUGUUUAAAGAGUGAGCAUACAUCCUGCUUUGUUUUCAUCAAACACACCCAGGUCAUGCGACUAUAAUCAUCAAUAAAAGACACAAACCAACGUGCUCCAUUCAGAGUUGGAACUUUUGCAGGACCCCAAACAUCAGAAUGUAUAAGUGUAAAUGGUGCAGAACUUUUAUUCAAACUUGGCAGAAAUGGAACACGGUGGCUCUUUGCCAAUUCACAGGUUUCACAUUUGAGUACUGGUAGAGAUGUGUUUGAAAAUAGCUCAGGAAGCAAAUGUUUUAAAUAUCCAAAUGAAAUAUGUCCAAAUCGCUUGUGCCACAACCAAAUAUUAGCAGUGGAUGUUGAACUGGUAACUGCUAAUGACUGAGCCAAUGCAUUUGAGCUAGAUGACGUGAGAUCAAGGUAAUAUAGCUUUCCUUUUUUAGUACCACAACCAAUCGUCCUCCUUGUCUUGAUGUCCUUGAAAACACAAUGAUCAGGCCAAAAAAUUACAACACAAUGCAAGGAAGUUGUAAUUUGAGAGACAGAUAUCAAAUUAAAAUUAAGGGAAGGAACUAUAAGAACAAUAUCUAAAUUGAGUUUACUUAAAGAAAAUGAACCUUUGCCAAUAACUGUGGCUUCUGUUCCAUUGGCUGUAGACACAACAUAUUUUUCAGAUGGUUUUAAUUUAGAAACAGGGGAGGUAGUGUCAAAGGACAUAUGAUCAGUUGAUCCAGAAUCAAUAAUCCAUGCACAAGAUCCAAUAGGUGCAGGUUUAUCAGAAGACUUACCUGGUGAGUUGGAGGAGGUGUGUAAUGCAGUAGCAUUGGCAUUCGGUAAAGAUACUUCAGCUAUGGCGGUGGAUACUGUUGAUGUAGUUGCAGUUUUGCCUUUAUGUUUUGGAGCCUUGGAAUGAUCCCACCAUUCAGGGUAUCCAAUCAAGUCAUAACAUCGACUUUUAGUGUGUCCGGUGUCUCCACAAUGAGUACAAUAUCUAGAUGAGCCAGACUGUUUAUUUCCAAUAUCAAAACUUCGAGAUGUCGCCACUGAACCAGGGUGAGUUUGUCGGAUAGGUGGUGUGUUUCGGCGAGCUAACAUGGCCAUAGAAUCAGGAGCAGUCAAGUCAUUUGUAAGAAGAAUUCGACGAUUUGCUUCACGACGAACAUAUGCAUAUGUGCGUUCAAGAUCAAGGCUUGGAUCCAUGCGAAGGAUUUCUCCCCGUACUUGUUCAAAUUCAGCAUCAAGACCAUUUAAGAAGAUAUGUAUCCUCAAUUUUUCAACUGAUGCUUUAUACAUAAUGAUAUCUUCAGGGUCCCUCAUCUUAACUUUAUCACGAUAAUCAAGUUCUUGAAAUAUCUCUACCAGCUCACCAUAAUAUGUAGGAAGAGAUCGACUUGAUUGACGAAUGGAGAAGGCACGUUGAUUGAGAUGAAAUAUUUGUGUUUCAUCUGAUCCGUCAUAGAAUGCUUUAGCAAGAGCACUCCAGAUUUCACGAGUAGUACGUAGGCGAAGGUACCUCUUCAUGAUCUCUGAUGACAUGGAUGUGAGUAACCAACCUUUAAUUUUUUGAUUUUCAGCAUACCACUUCGAAUAAGAGGGGUCUGUUGGUUCGGGUUGAGAUGAGUCACCAAUGAUAUAAUUGAGUUUCUCACGAUCAGCAAUAUGCAUCUCAAUUAUUUGGGACCAGGUGUCAUAAUUGGUUUCGGUGAGAAUUAUGCCAGCAUUGAAACCUGAAUUCUCAGAUUGGACAUGUAUAACAGGAGAGGAUGAUACGAGGGUUGAUUCGGUAGCCAUCGUAUUGAGGGAUAGCUUGAUUCAAUAAGUUUGCAGGGAUUUAGAAAACCUGCUCUGAUACCAUGAAGAACUGAGUUCUUUAUUUCACUUUAUUCAUCUGUGUUUCGAAUAUUUAUUAUACAGGAACACAAAGGCCUUUUAUAGACCUUUGCAAAGACUCCUAACAGACUAGGAGAUAAGUCUCGUAAGUGAUAGACUUUGUGUACAACAGACUAACGUAGAGUUCUUAACAGAAUAGGAGAGAAAUGUUACGUAGAGUUCUUAACAGACUAGGAGAUAAAUAUAACAAUCUUCUACAAACUGGAGGUUUAUAUAAUCGUUAAUUUUAAAACCGGUAAAAUUAAUCGAGGUGCACGUAAACUGACCGGACAUCUACAUUAAUAAUAAAAAAAAAACAUGCAAGUAUUAUAAGUCUCAGGUGGUAUAAUUCAAGUUGCCAUUUUGAUAUUAAAAUAACACAUUUCCAGGCCUUAUAUUUAAUAGUUUUAUGCUUAAAAAAAAAAGAGCUUGGCGUAUCACAUCCACCUAAUUAGUAUUAUCUAUAAAAAUCAAGGUUGUCAAUUUCGUUUCGGUAGGUGUUUCGUUUUUUCAAUUGGAAUGAAAUGUUUCAGUUUCGGAGUGUUUACUGUUCAUAUAUAUAUUCAACAAACAUAAUUUUAAUUCAAGAUAAAUUAAUUAUAAAUUAUGCAAUACAAACACAAUGCCAAAUAAAUAUAAUUUCAAAAUUUAAAAUAUUUCUAAAUAGUCAAGAUUAAAUAGAUCUUUAACUUAAAGUAAUUCAACUUAAACGAAAUAUCAAAAUAUUAUGAAAGUAAAAUCUUUUAACAAAAAUAUUUUAAAUAUAAAAUUAAGUCAUUCUUAUCAAGUGGUUAAUAGAAUCUAAAGCAUCCCUUGUUUUGCUCAAAUUCCUACAAAGUAUAAACAUGAAAAAAAACAUGAAUAUAAACCAUAAAUAUUAGUGAUAAAUCUAAUUUUAAAAAAUUAAUAUCAUUGUUAAUGAAAAUAGUAAUAAUAAUUUUCAAUAUUAUUAUUAAUAUCAUUGCUAUUGAAAAUAGUAAUGAAAAAAAGCUUUUUAUAAUCGGAUGGUUUAAUUAAUGAAAUUGAGCAAGGUUCAAUUUGAUUCAAUGGCUUUUCAAGAGUGAAACGGAACAUGUGGAAUGAAACCGGAACGUUUCGGGUGGAAUUUAACCGAAAAAUCCGGAAUGGACCGAGAUUUAAAAUGAGAUGAAAUUUGUUCCGUUUUUUGAAUUGGUAUGAAAUAUUUUAGUCAUUCCAGAUGAAACGAAAUGAAAUUGACAACCUUGAUAAAAAUAUAAUCUGAUCCCAUCCCAUGUCACAUACUCAUUAAAAGCUUGACACGUGUAAGAUACACUCUGAUGCAACCUGUGGUACAACGACAAAGAUAUUUUAUAUUGAUUGAGAGGUUAAGGAGGCAGUCAAUAUUUUAUAUUUCAGUCUUUUGUGGCAUUAAUAAUAAUGAUAGAAACAUUGGUUUGCUUCCUCUUGGGUGUAGGACAAGCACUACGUGGCGUUUGGGCUGCCUAUACUUUAAUAUUUUUAGUAUAAUUAAUAGUGUUGAUCUCAAAAUUAUUAUUAUUAUUUUUAGUAUAAUUAAUAGUAUUAAUCUCUAAAAUAUUAUUACAUUUGGUGUUGUAAAUAAUAUGAUUUUUAUAAUAACUCAAAUUAAUGGCAAAGGGAAGAGAUGAAAGAAGAAGGAUGAAUGCAAACCUAUCCAUCAAAAUCCUUCUAUCCUCCCUGCAAUUCCUUCCAAAUUAUGUGCUACAAUGAUUUUCUUCGCGAUUGAAGUAAGUUAGACUGGAUUGCCUAAAUAUGAUGAAUAAAGGGUUGGAUUUGCAAAAUUAUUUACACAGUUUAAUUUGUUGAUUUGAUACAUCUCAAUCUGUGAAUUAAUAGAAAAGAAGAAGAAGAAGAAGCUAGUACUAAACCAAUAAGUUUACACAUAAUCCAUGAACGUAUCUCAUAGGUCACAACAUUUUCCUUCAUUAUUGGUCACUAAUAUGUUACUAUUGAAAAGAGUAACUUAACAAUGGUCUAUAGGGUCUUUUCUAGGUGUUUUAGGGUGGUUUGUAUGGGUUUUUGGUGGCCAUGAAUUAACUUAACAAGGUCUUUAGGGUCUUUUCUAGGUGUUUUGGGUAAAAAAUAGAUUGAAAAUUAGUUUUUAAAUAAAAAAAAAAACAAAAGACCAUAUUUUUUCAGUCACCAUAAUGGCUGAAUUCUAGGUUGUGUAGAGGAUGCGUCAUUUUUCCAGCCCCUUACGUACAAUUUUUUUUAAAAAUAAAGUCUUGCGCGCUAACCAUUGCUUUAUUGGGUAAGACGUUGGCCUUCGCUUGCUAGGCCUAACAAUACCUGGCCUGAUUUCUUUUUUAUUAUUUUUUUAAUUUUUAAUUUUUCUUUUUAAAUAAAUCAUUAUUUGUGUGUAUUUUAUAAAAUAAAUUUUGGGUUUAUAUUUUAAUUAUAUUGUGAUUAUUUUUAAAUGACAUUUGGUGUGUUUAAUUUUUAAAGAGAUAGAUAUGAUUCAUGUUAUUAUUUAAAUUAUCCGAGUGAAUUGAACUCAUUAGAGCCAAUUCCCUAUAUAUUAUAUAUUUUUUAAGUAUUUAUUUUUUUUCAAUAUUUUUAUGCUAAAACAAAUAAACCUUAGCGUUAUAGCGUAUCGCAGCUAGUAUUACCUGUAAACAUAUCAUCUUAUCCCAUCCCAUGUCAAAUACUCAUUAAAAUAAUUUGUUGUCAAUUAUUUUAUAUUUCAUUCUUCUGUCGCACGUGUGCGGCGGCGCGACGAUCGUCCACCCUCAAGGGAAAAAUCGGAAUAUUUAUUCCUGGAAAAAAGGGAGAGACAAGGAAUUCUUGUCUCUAUAUGUGAAAAUAUAGACUGGGAGUCGCCACCUAGUUUUCUGGUUACUAGGAACCUUAACUAGUCUUUAGAGAUCGGGUACGGAGACUGGUUGCGUAAAGGGAAGGUAUUAGCACCCCAACUACGCCCUACCUAAGGUAUGCUGCAUUGUUUUAAUGUCUGAUAAAAUUUAAAAUCGUGUUGUGGUUUUUGAAUUGUUGGUUCGUUUACGGUUUAAGAAAAGUCCUCCUCCGUAAGGAGAUCCUUAUCUUUAUCGGGUAAAAAAUUAACUAUUCGAAGUCGUCAAAAAAAAAUAUUUUUUUAAUAUCAGGAAUACGAUUUACGUAUAAAUUCAUAAUCCUUGAUACUAAAAUCAAACAAAAUAAAAUAUUUUGUUGUUUUUGAGAUUUUGGCCAAUGUUCUCUUGACUUUAAUAAACUGGUUAUUAAAGCCAAAAUGCAUGCUAAAAUAUUGUUUUUUGACAUAUGAAAAAUACGAUAUGAUUUUUUAGAUUUGAGAUACUUGGCCGUAUGCACAAAAACAUUUUUUAUUUUUUUAUUUUUGUAUUUUUUGGAAUUUUAAUAUCGGAUUUAUAUUUUUUACGAUGUAAAAAUACUGCCCGAUAUUAAUCAAAAUGACAUAAAAAAUUACGCGGAAAAAUUAUAAAAUGCUGAAAUAAUUAUUUUUGAAUUUUUUCUUUCUGAAUGUGAACAGUGCCUUUAUUGGGUAAGACAUUGGCCUUCACUUGCUAGGCCUAACAACACUUGGCCUGAUUUUUUUUUAAUUUUUAGUUUUUCUUUUUAAAUAAAUCAUUAUUUGUGUGUAUUUUAUCAAUUAAAUUUUGAGUUUAUGUUUUAAUUAUAUUGUAAUUAUUUUUAAAUGAUAUUUGAUGUAUUUAAUUUUUAAAAAGAUAGAUAUGAUUUAUAUUAUUAUUUAAAUUAACCGAGUCAAUUGAACUCAUUAGAGCCAAUUAUCUAUAUAUUAUAUUUUUUUGAAGUAUUUAUUUUUUUCAAUAUUUUUAUGCUAAAACAAAUAACCCUUAGCAUUGUAGCGAAUUGCAGCUAGUAUUACCUGUAAACGUAUCAUCUGAUCCCAUCCCAUGUCACAUACUCAUUUAUAGCUUGACACGUGUAUGAUAUACUCUAUGGUGCAACUUGUGGUACAACAACAAAGAUAUUUUAUACCGAUUGAGAGGUUAAGGAGCCGGUCAAUAUUUUAUAUUUCAGUGUUUUGUGGCAUUAAUAAUAAUGAUAGAAACAUUGGUCCACACUGUUAGUUUCUUUCAUGGCAAAGACUUUUCCCUCGGGUCGAUGAUGAAGAAUAUUUGUAGUGUUCUUGGUUAUUCCUUAUUGUCGAGAAGCUUGUGCCUUGUAGCAAUCUAUCACGGGGGUGCUUGUCAAGAAAGAUGUCCAUAUUAAAGGGUAGAAGUGGUAAAUAAAAGAGAUGACAGAAGGAGGAUGAGAGCACAUGAUCUCUCUAGGAAUUCUAUGUACAAUUAAUGCUCGAUAAUCAACUUCUUUUCGCGGUUAAAAGAUUAAAGAAUUAAUUUUUAUUAUUAAUAAUUUGUUACUCUUUCAAUAGAGAAUGGCUUUAGAUUAAAUUUUUAUUUAUUUAUACUUUAUUGAAAUUAUAUUAAAGAAAACAAAUUUCCAGCGCAAAGCAUAACAACACACCUUUUCAUUUAUUUUUUCUUAUUUUGUUUCUUUAAUUUAGUUUUAAUUAUAUCUUUUUUUUUAAAUCUGUUAGUUUAACUAUUUUUAAAUAGUAAUUAAUCUUUUGGAUGGGUUUUUAAAUUUCAUAAUAUCUCAAAGGGAUUAUUGUAAUUUAUUUUAAUUUUUUUAUUAAUUUUUUUUAUAGCUAGAUAAGUUAUAUUUGCAUUAUAUGUUUUUAAUGAUGAAAAUAAAAUGUACUUAAUAACCAUAAUAAACCUUCAAGAUACAUAAAAAAAAAAACUCAUCUGUAAAAAAUGAAAUGCCAAGUCUAUGUGUACUGUCAAGUCCAAAUCUAUUGAUGCCAGACCCAUAUAUUUAUAAUAAAUAAAUAAAUAAAAUAACACAUCAGUUAUAUUGAUUUCCUUCGCAAUUGAAGUAGGUUAGGCUGGACUGCCUAAAUAUGAUGAAUAAAGGGCUGGAUUUGCAAAAUUAUUUACACAUUUUAAUUUGUUUGUUGAUUUGAUACUUCUCAAUCUGUGAAUUUACACUGCAUUAGUAGUUAAGAACUUAGAAGGUGAACUGACAGAAAAGAAGAAGAAGAAGAAGAAGAAGCAUUAGUACAAUUUCCUAUAUUCGAUGGUCCUCGAACCUAAUAUGUUAUUACUGAAAAGAGUAAAUUUCUGAACCUAACUCACAACAAUUUCCUUCAUUAUUGCUCACUAAUAUGUUAUUACUGAAAAGAGUAAAUUUCUGAUCACUCUAUUUCUGAGAUGGCUGCCAACUCUUGGUGAAGACGUCUCGCUGGCAUCCGGCCUGCGCUGGUUCUCUUAGGGACAGAGGAGCUAAAAGGAUCAGGAGGCUUUGUUAAGUUUUCUCCUUCCCCUUCAAGCAUCUGGACAACAGUUUUCAUGGAAGGACGCUCUGCUGGGUUCCACUGAAUGCACCAUAGCCCCACAAUUGCUAGUUUCUUCGCAAUUCUAGCAUCUUCUUCUCCAUCGAUAUGAAACCGCAGGUCUUCUUCCUUUUCUAAGAGAUUAUAAAUCCAUUCCGGGAAGUAUAUCUGGUCGCCAUUUUCUGCUGUAUCAUCGACGUUCUUCCUUCCUCCAACCAUUUCCAACACUAACAUCCCAAAGCUGUAAACAUCUGAUUUAUAGGAAACAUUCCCGAAGUUCCUCGAGAACACUUCCGGGGCAAUGUAGCCAACAGUCCCCCUAGCAGUCGUCAUGGAAAUAGCACUUUUAUCCUUGGAACACAACUUAGCCAUCCCAAAAUCGGCGAUUUUGGGAUUGAAUUCGUUGUCAAGCAGGAUAUUCUGUGGUUUGAUAUCAAAAUGGAGGAUUCUUUGAUCGCACCCCUGGUGAAGAUAUUCAAUCCCCUUGGCUAUGCCUAGAGCAACACGAUUCAACCUUUCCCAGCCAAGGAAAUGGUUCCUUGAGUCUGCUGAGGUUAUGAACUGCUGUAAUGAACCAUUUGGCAAGUACUCAUAAACCAGAGCUCGUCUGAAUCCAUCAGCACAGAAACCGAUCAAGCGAACAACAUUGACAUGGUGGAUCCUUGCCAUUGUUCCCACUUCAUUGAUGAAUUCCUCCCCUUUUCCUAUGGAAUUAUUGAGGAGCUUCACAGCUACAGCAAUUUCAUUGGUCAGCUUUCCUUUGAACACGGUUCCAUAAGCUCCUUGGCCCAAUUCAUCACUGAAUUGAUUUGUGAUCCUCUUGAGAUCAGCGUAGGAGUACCUAGUGGGAUUCAGUGAUCUGUAAUCAUCCAAAAACAUUUCAACCCUGGCUUGAUGUUCUCUUUGUGUUUUAUCGUUGCUAUAGGCGCGGUACAGUGCAGUAAUCACUAUAGCAAAAAGGAAUAAUCCUAAAAUCACACCUGCAUAUCAACAUUCUGAGUCAGGAAACUCUUUUUUUCUGGGGGGGAAAGUAAUGUAUUGAACCAAGUGUAAAAUUGAGAUGGAGAUUUGAGCAGACUACUAACCAGCAAUCAGUAGCUUUCGCCGCACAUCUAGAUCUGCAAGGGAUUGAAUACUUAUUAGCUUCUCCCUUUUAGGCAAUUGGUAAAAUCAUGAAAGCAACAAAGACGAAAAGAGUUUCUCUAGUGUUUUGUUAUUUACAUAUUCAAAUGCCAAUUAUUGAUUUGAAAAAAAGGAAGAAAGAUACAAAAACAUACCUUUAGUGUGCGGAAGAAUGCUGUAGCAUUCAGUUUCAGAAGAUCCACAAGUAACUGGAUUGGACCAAGACAUAGUAAGAACAGAAUUUUCUUCCUGCAUCAUACUAUAUGGAAUUCCAUAAAUGUUGUACAUCUUGGUACAAGAUAAGAAAUCAGAGUAACUGAUGGAAAUACUUAAGUCAACGGCAUAAACUUCAUGCUUAAAAGUACUCAGACAUGGGAUUUUAUCCAUGUACGGAGGAGACCUUUUCUCACUAGAAAGUGAACAAUUGAACAAGGUCCAAUCAUACAGCCAAUCGUUUUUAAUUUGGAAGGGAGAAGCCCCUAAACUGAAGUUUAAACGUUGCCUUGGAAAGCAAUCUUGAGGAUACCUUGCAUAAAUACGUUGAUGUCUAUAGUCAAUUCUUUCGAUGUGGAGACUCAAUCCAGUUGGCAGCUUAAGCACUGUGCUGUUGUCCUCUGAGCAGGAUAGAUCAAACCCAGGACAACCACAGUGGUCUGGUUGUUUGUCCAUGUUUCGGAAAGGAAAUCGGAUGUCAGGGCCACGGUUUCCACAUGAUCCUGUGCUAUUCAAGCUUGCUCCAUGGCCUGCAAGGAAGAAAAAGAAAAAGAAAAAGAAGAACAAACACGUAACCAUUUCUGAUGAAUAAUUCAUCAUCUCCACACUCCUCCAGAUUUUAUCUGCAUGUGCUGAUAUAGUUUUGGCCUUUCAGAAAACUCAUGUAGUCCUUAGACGGCGAUUCCUUUACAGAAUUUAUUUACUCCAUCGAUCUAGUGUGAUGCUCGUCCCUUUGACAUUCCUCCACUCACAAACAUGUGGGAUCCAAUUAUUCCGUUUUAUUUAGGGGUGAGCAUAAUUUCAAACGGUUUGGUUUGGAUAAAAAAAUAUAUAUAACAGAAGUUUUUUUAAAAAAAAUAUUUAGUUCAAACGGUUUGGUUUGGAUAAAACAAUAUAUAACAGAACCAAUUUUUGUUAAUUGUUUUUUGAAUUGAAUCAAAUAAAAGAACCAAAUUAACUGGUAUUUGUUUUUUUUUUUUUUGAGUUAAUGGACCUUUAGUUGAGCAAUUUUGACAAGUUUUAGGGUAGUUGUUUACACAGCCUCAUUAUAUUUUAUAUAAAAUAUUUUUUUAAAAUUAAGUUUUUGUGUUUAUGGAUUGUUUUAAUGUGCUAAUAUUACGAAUAAAUUUUUUAAAAAAAUUAUUUUGAUACAUUUCUAAGUAAAAAACAGUUUGAAAAGAAAUCACUACCACAAUACCAAACACUAUCUAAUUUAAUGAGUUUUGAGCUUAUAACAUACCUUUAGUUUCUAAUAAGUUUUUUUUAUUUGGUUUGGAUUGAUUUUUCAAAAAGAUUUAAAAUUGAAACUCAACUGAAACGUUUUUAAUUUUUCUAACAAAAAAAAAAUUCAAAAUUCAAAAAACUGUUUGGUUAAUUUUGGGUCAAUUUCUAUGAUUAAUGUUCUCAUCCCUAAUAAUAACAAUCUCUCUAUUUACAUAGUAUUCACAUUGUAUAUGGCAAUAUGUUUAAUUUGGAAACCUAGAAUUAGCAAAAAAAAACUAGAUUCUAUCAUAUGAAUUAGAAUUACAUGAUCGCACUUAUGCCAAAAGAUUGUUCUUUUUUUGGUCAAAUUAGCAGAGUAAAUAUAAAAAUUUAAGGGAAUAACACCGUUUGAGAAAGAUUUAACAAAAUAAUUUACUUUCAACUUGUCACGCUUCAAAAGCUUGAUAUUUACUAAAUGUCGUUAUUCCAACACAUGGCAAGUAAUUGUUCUUCUUUAGAAUAGCGAUAUUUAGUAAAUGUUAUUAUUCUGAAGCAUGACAAUAAGAAACUCCAAUUUACUGACCGACUGGUUUGAUUAAGUUAUAUUAACCGGUCAAUUGUAUCACACAAAAACGAUAAUUUUAUAAUUUUGUUUAUGAGUUAAAAUAUACAUCCCUAUCCAAUUUGUAGACUAAAAAAAUCUCAAAACGUUAUUGUAAUUAGGCUUAUGAUAAUGAGUGAUUCUAGAUAGUCAGAUGUGAGUUUGCCAUAACUAAAUGAAGACCUACUCCGAACAAAUUAUAUGGAUGGUUGUAUUUAUCGACUAGUAAGACAUGUGUAGGCCCAAGAGGAGGUCUAGUCAUGCCAGACCAGGAUAGCAACUCAAAAGAACCAUAAAUUUUGAUUUGAUCGUUGGAUCAUGCUCAAAUUUUUAUAGGAUUUUUUAGAUGCCAUUUUACCUAGGGCAACCUUACUGGGCUACACUAACCAUCACAUCUUUGGACAUAAAAAAAUCUCAUCGAGGACCUUUGGUUUUGGCAAUUUUGUGAUUUUCCUUGUUACUUUCAGAACCGGUCAACUAGUUUCACUAACUAUUAUGAACUAGUCGAUCGAUUGAGCAUGACAAUUAUCUUGUCAUGCUUCAGAAGCACCACAUUUACUUCAGAAGCGUGACAUCUACUAAAUGUUGCUAUUCUGAAAUGUGACAACUAUUUUGUCGUGUUUUGAAAUAUCGACAUUUAGUAAAUGUUGUGUUUCUAAAGGGCGAUAAGGUGAAAGUGUGCUAUUCCACAAAAAAAAUUUGCUUUUGUGUCAUUUCAUCAUUUAUUUUAAUUUGUGUGUUAAUUUCCUAAUUUAUCCUACGCCAGAAAGGAAUUGGAGUUGUGAUGGAUGCAAAAUUCUCAACAAGAAAUAACUAAGAAGGUAUAAUUCAUCGUGAUUGACACGAGGGUGAUUGAGGGGAAAAGUCUUGGUACGUGAAUCAAGGUUGUCAAUUCCAUUUCGUUCACUCCCCCGUCAUUGAAAGGAGGGUGGUUGAGGGGAAAAAUCUUGCUAUGUGAAACUUCGAGUGACGGACCAAUGUUUCCAUCAAUGACUCAAGUGUCUGUGAAGGAAACGAAAAUAAUGGGGCUUUGACAAGUUCUUUAACCUCUCAAGCAGUAUUUAAGUCCUGUUUGUCUACAUGGCCAACUCGCUAUCAGUUGAGAAGGGAGGAAAGAAAAGUAAAGGGCUCUUUCCUGUUGUCUUGCUCGGGAUACCGUGAACGAAACGGUCCAUAUUUUUGUCAUUAGACUAGAGGAGGUUGUUGGGUUAUUUCCAGAACUCAAACACACACAAUUUACGUGGUUCGGCAACUUGCCUACUCCACGGAGCUACUGGGUUGUAUUAAUUACUCAAAGAAACAAUACAACAACAAAGGAGGAGGAGAUAAAACUCAACUCAACUCAACUCUACUCUCUCAAGCUCUCUGUUCUCUCUUCUCUCUGUGUUUCACUCUCUGCAACUCAUCAGUUCUUCACGCUACAAUGACACACAGGGGGCACAUACAUAAAUAUACAAAUAAUGGGAGUGGGGGUGUCCUCCACCAUGUGCAAAGUGGGGGAUUAGUUAUUCCACUUGCACAUGGUGGGGCAAUUGUUGUCUCCAUAAUGCUAACAAUCUCCCACUUGGAGACAAACAAUGAAAUCCUUUUUAUCCUUGAAGGCCGACUGAAGUUUUACACAACUUCAGUUUAUCAAGUGUAACUCCUUUGGUUAACAUGUCGGCUGGGUUCUUGCUUCCACAGACCUUUUCUAGCAUUAGUUGCUCGUCGUCCAGCAGUUGUCGGAUGAAGUGAUAUUUGAUCUGAAUAUGCUUCGUCCUGGAGUGAAAUGCUGGAUUCUUGGCAAGGAAGAUUGCACUCUGACUGUCGCUAUAUAAAGUACCUUUUCCAUUCAACUUGCCCAAUUCUUUCAAGAAACUCUGCAACCAUACUAUCUCUUUUGCAGAUUCUGAGACUGCAACAUAUUCAGCUUCUGUUGUUGAAAGAGCAACGAUCUUUUGCAAGGUAGAACUCCAGGAAACAGCAGUACCUCCUAGAGUAUAAACAUAUCAUGUAGUGCUCUUUCUGCUAUCAACAUCUCCUGCUAGAUCAGCAUCUACAAAACCUUCAAGUUUCAAACCACCAGUUGUGAAACUAAGACAAGUUUCUGAUGAACCUUUUAAGUACCUCAUGAUCCAUUUCACCGCCUCCCAAUGUUGCUUUCCAGGAUUGCUCAUAUAUCGGCUUACAACUCCCACUGCAUGGGCAAUGUCUGGUCUGGUACAGACCAUAGCAUACAUCAAAGAGCCGAUAGCUGAGGCGUAUGGAAUCUUAUCCAUGUAUCCACUUUCUAGCUCAGUUUUGGUGACUGAUCUUUGCUGAGCUUGAAAUGAUUCCCCAGUGGUGUACUUACUGGUUUAGCAUUAUCCAUACUAAACCUGCUGAGAACCUUCUUGACAUACUCUGUUUGUGAGAGCUUUAGUAUGCCUUUGUCUUUAUCUCUGAUGAUUCUCAUGCCAAGUAUUUGUUUAGCAGCUCCCAGAUCCUUCAUUUCAAACUGUUUCGACAACUGCUGUUUCAGCUUAUCAAUCUCCUCAAUGCUGGAUCCUGCAAUCAACAUAUCAUCUACAUAUAAUAGUAGAAUGAUGUAGGAGUUGUCAAAAUGUUUGACAUAGCAACAAUGAUCAGCUUGGCAUCUUGUAUACCCGGAACUGCACAUGAAGUUGUCAAACUUCUUGUACCACUGUCUUGGAGCUUGCUUCAAACCGUAUAGGCUUUUCUGUAGCUUGCAGACUUGAUUCUCCUUUCCUUGCAUUGCAAACCCCUCUGGCUGUUGCAUGUAAAUAUCUUCCUCCAAGUCACCAUGAAGGAAUGCUGUUUUUACAUCUAACUGUUCAAGAUGUAAAUUUUCUGCAGCUACUAUCCCCAGAACAACUCUGAUUGUUGUGAGCUUCACAACUGGAGAAAAAAUCUCAGAGUAGUCAAUGCCUUUCUUCUGUUGAAACCCUUUGACAACAAGUCUUGCCUUGAACCGUUUGCUUCCGUCAUGCUCAGUCUUCACUCUGUAACCCACUUAUUUUGCAAGGCCUUCUUUCCUUCAGGUAAUGUUGUUAGCUCCCAAGUCUUGUUCUUCACAACGAACUCAUCUCAUCCUUCAUGGCUAACUCCCACUUGCUUGAGUUUCCAUCUUGUAAGGAUUCUUCAUAAGAUAACGGUUCACCACCAUCUGUCAGCAAAAUAUAAUUCAGUAAAAGUGUGAACCGUUGCGGGGGCUUUAUCGUCCUCGAAGACCUGCGAACAGCUGGUUCAAGUUGCUCGCAUCUUCUUGUGUGUGUGGGCACAGAUGUGCUUGAAUCUUCUUGUAAAGACUCUUGAUUGUUGUUCUGCUUAGUAACAUCGGGAAGCCCUUCUAAUCUUAUGAAUUCAGAUCUUUGUGGACUUGUAUCUGAAUCAGCCAUCUCUGUUUCUCCACUUGAUCUGUCUUUGUACAUAACUUUCUCAUUGAAGAUCACGUUCCUGCUUCUGAUAAUCUUUCUAUUCUGAUCAUCCCAGAACCGAAAUCCAAAUUCUUCAUCUCCAUAGCCAAUGAAGAAACAUUUCUUGGAUUUGGCAUCUAACUUGUUGCGAGCAUCAGAAUCUAUGUGAACAUAGGAAACACACCCAAAGACCUUCAAAUGAGAGAGUGGUACCUCUUUUCCUCUCCAUACUUCCUCGGGCAGUCUGAAUUCCAAAGGAACUGAUGGUCCACGGUUGAUCAAGUAAACUGCGGUAUGAACUGCGUCAGCCCAGAAUGUUUGAGGUAACCCAGAAUGCAACCUCAUGCUUCUAGCUCGUUCAUUGAUGGUCCUGUUCAUCCGUUCAGCAACGCCAUUCUGUUGCGGUGUGCCUGGAACGGUCUUUUCCAUUCUGAUACCAUUGACAGCACAAUACUCCUUGAAACCUCCAUCAAUGUAUUCUCCUCCAUUAUCAGAUCUCAAGCAUUUCAACUUUAGACCUGAUUCAGUCUCAACCAUAGCCUUCCAUUUCUUGAAUGUUUCAAACACAUCAGAUUUAUUUUUCAGAAAGUAAACCCAUACCUUCCUGCUGAAAUCAUCAAUGAAAGUCACAUAAUACCGAGAACCUCCAAGAGAUGCUACUGGAGACGGUCCCCAUAAAUCUGUGUGUACCAGUUCUAGCUUGCUUGGUCUUAAGGUCCUGCCAACCUUCAAGAAACUGACCUUCUUCUGUUUUCCAAGAACACAGCUUUCACAAAUGUCUAGAUCGACAUUUUUUAACUCUGGCAGCUUUCCCUUCGACUGAAGUAUCUUCAUCCCCUUUUGACUCAUAUGGCCAAGUCUACAAUGCCAUAGAUGUGCUUGAUUUUCUGCUUCAGUUGAGGCAAUGAUGUCUGCAAAUCUUGUGGUCAUAUACAGGGUGCCGGUUUUCUUUCCACGAGCUAAAACCAUUGCUCCCUUUGAUACUUUCCACAUUCCUCCAGCAAAAAGUAUUGAAUGACCACUAUCAUCAAGUUGUCCGACAGAGAUCAACUUUUCUUUAAUUCAGGAACAUGCCUUACAUUCUGCAAGGUCCAUAUAGAUCCAUUCAUUGUCUUGAUUUGCACAUCUCCUAUACCCACAAUUCAGUGGUGUUCCAUCGGCCAGAUAGACUACACCAUGAUCUCCUCCAACAUAAUUUUGCAGCAUUUCAUUGUGUGGCGUACAGUGGAAUGAAGCACCAGAAUCAAGAAUCCACUCAUCAAUUUGACUUUGUACAGCAAGAAUUAAAGCAUCUUGUACCUCAUCUGUGGUAGCGUUUGCAGAGUCAGCUUCAGGUUUCUUCGGUUUUGUGCAAUUCCUACUGAAAUGACCAGGUUUGCCACAAUUCCAACAUUCAACCUGCUUUCUGGAUCCAAACUUGCUUUUACUUCUGUAUCUGGAUUUUGAUCUGCCUCUGGAUGAGCCUCUAUCGUGUCUCCUCCCUCGAGUGUUGAUGUUGAGAGCUGAUCCUGAGCUUGAACUUUCACCCGAGUCUUUCCUUCGCACUUCUUCAGCCAAAAUCAAGUCUCGAAUGUCAUCAUACUUCAGUUUGGAUUUUCCAGCUGAAUUGCUCACGGCUGUCCUCAUGCCUUCCCAACUGCUUGGAAGUGAAGCUAGCAAGAUGAGUGCACGAAUCUCAUCAUCAAACUCAAUCGCAACAGAUGAUAAUUGAUUUGUGAUGGUAUUAAAGUUGUUGAGGUGUUGUGUCACAGAAGUGUUUUCGACCAUCUUCAAGUUGAACAACUUUUUCAUCAGGUGCACUUUAUUAUUUGCUGAUGGCUUCUCAUACAUCCCAGACAAGGCUUCCAUCAAUUUUGCAGUGGAUUUUUCUUUCGUAACAUUGUGAGCAACUCUUCUUGAUAACGAUAGCCUGAUAAUGCCCAGAACUUGUCUAUCAAGAAGUUGCCAUUCUUCUGCUUCCAUCUUUUCUGGUUUGCUUCCCAAUAAGGGAAGAUGAAGGUUCUUCCCAUAUAAAUAAUCCUCAAUUUGCAUUUUCCAGUAUCCAAAAUCUGUUCCGUCAAAUUUUUCAAUUCCAGCAGCCUUUAUUUCAUCUGCCAUUUUUAUUAAUUCUCCGAUUCGAAUUUCCCAAAUCUGACCUUACAGAUGUGUCCGGAACGGCCAAAAACCUUGGAAAUGACACUGAGAUCACCCCAAUCGGACUUCGGAUGGCUCAGAUUUUAGCAAUCAAAGUUUUGGAUUAACGGACGGUUCAGAUGCAGCCGCGUGUCAGCCAGAGUACCGCCUGCGUCGCACCGGAUAAAAACUCAGUAGCGGUUCUGAUGAAGACACGUGUCAGCAGAUUACAGCCUGCGUCGCACCGGAUCAAAACUCAGUAACGGUGCAGAUUAAGCCACGUGUCAGCCGAUUAGUGCCGACACUGAUCAAACUCAAACGGUGCAGAUUCAGCCACGUGUCACGAUUAGAGCCUGAGUCGCACCGGAUCAAAACUCAGUAACGGUCAGAUUAGCCACGUGUCAGCGAUUAGCCUGCGUCGCACCGAUCAAAACUCAACGGUGAUGAUGUAGCCACGUGUCAGACGAUUACCGUCUGCGGUGCACUGGAUCAAAACCCAGAUGGAUGACGUGGCAGGUGACGUGGCGUUGACCGUGCGACUUGCUGACGUGGCGGGUCAGACCCGACCCGUUUUGCAGAAACGGGCGAAGAAGGAGCGUGCGCGCGAGGCGCGUUGUGCGCGUGGGCAGUCGUGCGGUGCGCGUGUGGGCGCGUGCGGGCAUGCAGGACGUCGGUUCUUUGCCGGGUUUUCACUAGUGGAUUCGUCCGGUUGUCCUCUACACGAUGGUAUGGUCAAAAACACGUUUUGAGAACAUUGAUUUUUGAGUUUGGAUCAAACACCCUCUUUGUCAAGAACAAGCUCUGAUACCAGUUGUUGGGUUAUUUCCAGAACUCAAACACACACAAUUUACGUGGUUCGGCAACUUGCCUACUCCACGGAGCUACUGGGUUGUAUUAAUUACUCAAAGAAACAAUACAACAACAAAGGAGGAGGAGAUAAAACUCAACUCAACUCAACUCUACUCUCUCAAGCUCUCUGUUCUUUUCUCUUCUCUCUGUGUUUCACUCUCUGCAACUCAUCAGUUCUUCACACUACAAUGACACACAGGGGGCACAUACAUAAAUAUACAAAUAAUGGGAGUGGGGGUGUCCUCCACCAUGUGCAAAGUGGGGGAUUAGUUAUUCCACUUGCACAUGGUGGGGCAAUUGUUGUCUCCAUAAUGCUAACAGAGGUUACACGAGAUUGUAGCUCUCCUACGCGAAACUUCACAUGAGGACCAAGAAUCUCUCUGUUGACAUAGCAUUCACAACUAAUAUGAAUAGGCAUAUGGUAACAUGUUGAUUUUGGAAAUCUAGAACUGGCAGAAAAACUAGAUUCUAUGAAAUGAAUUUUAAUUAAAUGGUCGCCCUCUUAAUGCUUAUGCCAGAAGGGACUAGGAGUCAUUAUGGAUGCGAAAUUCUCAACAUGUGUAUUUGAAUGCAUUAUAUUUAAAUUGUGUUAUUAAUUCUUUUCUUCAUAAAAAGCUACAUACCAUUAACAAGAGAAAAGGAAACAGAAAUCUAAAUUUGUUUGCUGGGUCUAUGCUCUAAUUAGGUUUAGUUAUGUGUGCUUCUAUUAAUUUCUCUAAAUUCUAUAUAUGUAUUGGCCAGGAAAAAAAAUAUCACACUGCAUAAAUUUAUUUUAGAGAAUAACAUAUAUAUAUUUGAAUUUGUUAGGACAACUUGACUAGUGCAACAAGACAAAAAAAGAAGAAGAAAAAAGAAAAAGAAAGAUAGUUGGUCGAGAUAAAAGGACAAGGAACUAAAAAACGCAACUUCGUUAUACCAAAAAAAAUGCUAGAAAAAUACUUUCUCAUCGUCAAUGUAAAAAAGGAGGAAUCCAAACGCAUAUACAAGUCCAAAUCGGCUAUUAUAAAAAAUUACAUUACUGAGUGUCUUUUUCUUCUUCUUCUUCUUCUUUUUUGCUUUUUAUUUUGUUUUUUUAAGUUCUUUUUUCUUUUUUCUUUGUUUUUUUUAAUCUAUUUCUUUUCUUUGUUUUUUUUUUAAUGAAUGUUUUUUUCAAUUUUUUUUUUGUUAAUGUUAAAUUCUUUUCUAUUUAGUUAUUAAAUUUUUAUAAUACAGAUUCCGGUUUUGAUGGGUUAACCCAUAUUUGUUUUUCUGGUUUUUUUUUUUAAUUAAUUUUUUCGAGUGCAGCCCACAGUGAAACGCUUAGCUAUCUUUUUUUUUUCUACUUUGUUUUUUUGAGCUGUUUUUUUCUUUUGCUUUUUUCUUUGUUUUUUUUUAAGUUGUUUUGUUUUCUUUGUUUUUUUUAAUGAAUUUUUUUUGUUUACUUUUUUUUUGUUAAUGUUUAAUUUUUUUUUAUUUAGUUAUCAAACUUUCAUUACAUGGGUUCCGGGUUUGACUAGUUAACCCAGAUUUUUUUUCUGAUUUUUUCUUUUUAAUUAAUUUUUUCGUUUAAUUUAGUUUGUUAAUUUUAAUUUUUUUUUAUUUAGUUAUCAAACUUUCAUGACACGGAUUCCGGGUUUGACGGGUUAACCCAUCUAAUUCUGGGUUAACCCGUAAUUUUUUUUUCCUAUUCAGUUAUCAAACUUUCAUGACACGAAUUCCAGAUUUGACGGGUUAACCUGGUUUGAAGGGUUAACCCAUAGUUUGUUUUUCCUAUUCAGUUAUCAAACUUUCAUGACACGAAUUCCAGAUUUGACGGGUUAACCUGGUUUGAAGGGUUAACCCAGUUAAUUCAUAUUUUUUUUCUUUUUCUUCAUUAGUUUUUUUCCUAUUUAAUUAAUGUUAAAAGAAUGAAGCAGCUGAAUAAAUUGAGUAAUUAUUACCAAUGAAAAUUAUUGAUAAUUUAUAUGAAAUUACCAGAAUUAUAUAAAAGACCGCUUCAACUUUUUUAACCUGGUUGCUCUGUCUCAACUAGUCGGGCGGUUCAAUUAAUUUCUAGAAAUCAGUUUACUUUCAGCAUUUUCACUAUCUUUCCCUUACAACCGAAGGAAGCAUAUCUUAGAAUAUCUCAUGGAUUUGGACUGGAUUGGGUGUUUUGGUUUUUGAUGAGAUGCUCCAAGAAAAAUAUCAGGCUCGCUGGAUGUCGUUGUUUGUGGUAUUGACAGUUGAUGACUUUUUUUUUUUUUUUACUUUUCAAAGUUAAUGAUUCUGACAUUUCGAAGGAGGUGGGAAAUUAUCUUCGUCUGUGAAGUAGUGUUGAAUGGUGGAUCAAUAACUCACUGUCUGCUUUGCUACUAUUCCUAUCCCAUGACUCUGACAUUUCAAAGGACGACCAGGUAGGGGUGUUCUCCUUCACCUUUUCAUUGCAUUACCGGUAGCUUCCACUCCGAAAUUCAAUAGUUUUUGUUGGAGAAAAAAGAAAAGGAAAAAAGAAGAACAGUUUGUGCAAAAAUUGCGUAUACACUGUGUAUCACUUCAGCCUUCCCCAUGUUUAGAGGAAUGAACGUCCUUUUGGCUUGCUACAUAGCUUUUCUUUUACAGCUAUUAGUCUUCCAAACUUGCCAUUCUAGCACCAUCACUACUCAUAGUGCUCCUUCUUCAUGCGGCAAUAUCCAAAACAUAAGAUACCCUUUCAGACUACACACUGAUCCACAAAGCUGCGGAAACAAUAAUUAUGCUCUGAUUUGCGAGAACAAUAUUUCUACAGUAUUAUGUUUGUAUUCAGGUAAAUACUACGUGCAGGCAAUCAACUACGGUAACUACACAAUCCGAGUGGUAGAUGCUGGUGUACAAGAUAAUUGCUGCUCCAUCCCUCGUUAUUCUUUGGCACCUGAUGACUUCAGUUACGGAGAUCCAUACACAUGGUAUAACUACCAGGUGCCGCCGCCGGGAGUGAGUGAACUUUUCGUGGACUAUUGGGGGUACUGGUACUUAACUCCACUAUCACAGCCUAUGAUUUUCAUGAGCUGUGAAAAUACGGUGAAUUCAACUCUCUAUGUGGACACUGUUGGAAUAUUGCCAAUUAUGUUUACAUUGUCAAAGAAGGAGGCUUGUUGGUGGCAACCACCAACCUUGACUUUGGUAGCCAUCUUUGUUGAAGAAGAGAUGAGUUUGGCAGCCACCAUUGAUGACAAAGUAGCAAGAGGAGCUGUCAUUGAAGCCUAUAAAUAGACACCAAGAGUGCAUCACAAAAUGAGAGAGAGAGUCUUGUAGGAGAGCUACAAAAGAGAGAAGAAGAGAGAAAGAAAGAGAAGGGCUGCCACCAGCAGCUGCUGCCCUAUGUAGCAAAGAGAGAUGGGAGUUGAGUGAUGAGAUCCUCCUUCAUGUAUUAUUGUAUUCUUUCUCUAUCUCUAAAUAAAAUGAACCUCUCCCGUGGAUGUAGGCAAUUUGCCGAACCACGUUAAAUAUUGUGUCUCAGUGUGCUUACCCCUCCUAUGAGCAAAGAUCAGUACAUCACCGGUCCCGGAUUCCGCACAACAAUUGGUAUCAGAGCCCCGUUCGUCGGAAAACAGAAGAGUUUUGGGGUAUAUCCGAAUUUUCAAAGUUGUCCAAAACAAGUUUUGAUCAUUCCAAAGUGUAGAGCUCAUCAAGACGAACUCACUGCCGCAAAAAUCAGCCAAAUCGGAGUUCGGGGUAGCCCACACGCGCCGCCUGAAUAUUCAGCCAGAUCGCCGGUCCCGGAUUCCGCACAUCAGACACGGCUCCCUACGGCCUUAACUACGGAUCAAUAAAUUAUUCCAACUCUUCUCUUGUGACUCGUUCGAAUUAUGUGACUCUUGGGGGCAUGAAGGCCUCGGAUUUGAUGGAACUGUGCACCAUAGAGAAAAUAUUUUUUCUUCCAAAGAAGAACUACACAGACAAUUACUCCUUUGAAGAAAUACACAGUGACCUGGCAUAUGGGUUUGAGCUUUCAUGGUACAACAUCUACUGUGAAAAUUGCACAAGGGGUUGCUACAUCAACAGCUCAGACCAUCGUCAAUAUUGCAUUCCCGCAGAACGUAUGUAACACUUGAUGAUUAAGUUGCAUCACUUUGAUUCAUAAGACCAUAUAUAACUUGUGAUUUGAGGUGGUUUCAUAUAUUUUCUCUGGCUUACUUUUCAAUUUUCAUUUUUUUCUGCGCAUUAGCACAAUAUUGCACUGUCCCCAGAAGUUCAUGUACAAAUUCUGUGCAUCCAUUACCUGUGGAUUCUACUAUAGUGGACUGAUCAUAAGAUUCAUUCAUGUUCAUAUUGUAAAAUAUUCUGACUAUAAUGUGGUUUAAGGUAGUUGGACAGAUUCAUUGGUCUUUUGCAAUUUCAGGAUUGACACAGUGAAACGUUUGGUUCAUCUUAACUUGAACAUGGAUACACAUUAAUUAGUUCAAGUCACAUUAUUAAAUUGUGUGCGCUCUUUUCUAUUUUCUUUUGCAUUUACUAUUGCGUAUACCAUUAGAACUCGUUUCUUAACCUAAAGCUUCAACAGAUAAUUUUGACACAGUGAAACGUUUGGUUCAUCUUAACUUGACCAUGGAUACACAUUAAUUAGUUCAAGUCACAUUAUUAAUUAAAUUGUGUGUGCUCUUAUCUAUUUUCUUUCGCAUUUACUGUUGCGUAUACCAUUAGAACUCUUUUUAAACCUAAAUUCUCGACAGAUUUUGGUGAAAGCUUCUGGGAAACACUACUCUACGCAGUGAUAGGUGCGAAUUCUCCUUCUGCAUCUCACCUUGUUUGUGUAUUCUUAAGUGUUUCUUCAAACGACUUAUUUGUGAAAUAAGGAUUGUUGUUUCUUGAAUAGUAAUUGUAAUUUUGUUCACCAUUUUCUGCAGGUUAUAUCCAUUUUAUUUGGUAAGAGAUUCCAUCAUUUCUUUAGUUUCGCAACAAAUUUCUAGUGGAGACAACAAAUAAGAUCACAAAACUUGAUUGUUUUCUGGAAAUUUCCUACACAGCACUGCUUCAUGGGCUAAAAGUUGUUUGUGGGACUCCAUGUGUGAUUAUAUUUUUGAUCUACAAAUGGCGAAGGAGACAUUUAUCAGUAUACGAUACAGUUGAACAAUUCCUACAGGGUCAGAAUAACCUUAUGCCAGUAAGGUAUUCCUACUCAGAUAUCAAGAAGAUUACUAGAGGUUUCAAGGAGAAAUUAGGUGAAGGAGGCUUUGGUACAGUUUACAAAGGAAAGCUUCGCAGUGGGCGUUUUGCAGCAGUAAAAUUGUUGGGAAAAUCAAAAGCUAAUGGACAGGAUUUCAUAAAUGAAGUUGCUACCAUAGGAAGGAUUCACCAUACUAACGUGGUGCAGCUAAUCGGUUUUUGCGCUGAAGGAUCAAAGCGAGCUCUUGUAUAUGAUUUCAUGCCUAAUGGAUCUCUUGAUAGACACUUGUUUUCUCGAGAAGGAUCAAUCUCUUUAAGCUGGCAAAAACUGCAUCAGAUUUCCCUUGGAGUGGCUCGUGGUAUCGACUAUCUUCAUUUAGGUUGUGACAUGCAAAUACUUCAUUUUGAUAUCAAGCCUCACAACAUUCUUCUCGACGAAAAUUUCACUCCAAAAGUUUCUGACUUCGGGCUCGCUAGGUUGUACCCCACUAAUGGCAGCAUAACAUCUCUUACUGCAGCAAGGGGCACCAUAGGAUACAUGGCUCCUGAACUGUUCUACAAAAACAUUGGACGUGUCUCCUAUAAAGCUGAUGUUUAUAGCUUUGGAAUGCUGCUAUUGGAAAUGGCAGGCAAAAGGAAGAAUGUAAACGCAUUGGCAGAAAAUUCAAGUCAAAUCUACUGGCCAUAUUGGGUUCAUGACCAAGUAUCUGAUGGAAAGGCCAUAGAAAUCGGAGACGAUGCCACGGAGGAAGAACGUAAGAUCGUCAAGAAGAUGAUUAUGGUUGGAUUGUGGUGUAUACAAAUGAAACCCAUGGAGCGGCCUACAAUGAAGAAUGUUGUGGAGAUGCUUGAAGGAGAUUUGGAAAACUUGCAAUUGCCUCCUAAGCCUGUCUUCAAUCUAGAUGUGACGCCACCAAACAUUGAAGGAGAGUCAUCAUCGUUGUCAGGGAUUCUACCGAAUCAACCAGUUUGGUUGAAAAUGCAUACUAAGUGAUAUGAUGUGGAAUGCUCUGCUUACAUGCAGGGAAAAUGAUAGAAUAAUGGUGCUUUCGGACUUGGUUGUGAUGAUUUAGUCUGCAAACAUUAUGAUAAUUUGCAAUACUUCCUUUUAUCUGAUUUGUGUUUAGCUAAUUUAGAGUUCAAGCUGCGGCUUGUUUCUUCGGUUUGGUCUAUAUAAUCAUCAUACAAAGAUAUUCUGUAUUGGCAAUCAUAGCAGUUGGCGAGGAUGGAACAUCCUCCAUGAUAACUGUUCCAUGUUCUACAUAUUAAUUAUCCUAUUUGUCUCCAGCAGAGUAAUAUUUUGGCUACAAAUUAACAAGAGACUAUCACAGGGAUUAUAUAAACAAGUUGAUGCAUGAAAAGACGAGUCUCUAUUUAUAGGCAGCCACUAAAAGUAGCUUCGGAGACCACAAAUACAAGUCAAGUCUCUCUAGUAAUCCUUCCACUACAAGUAGCUUAAUUUCAUUUUCUUCCACCAACAAUGCCUUCGUGUCAAUGUUCAGCCCCAUGAUAAUCGAUCUGGCGUCACCAUUUGCACAUUACCAUAUCUUGCAUAAGCCACGAGGAACCAAUCACAACAAAACAUUGAAAACCAUGACCAUAACGUGUGCUGUGAAAUGAAUAUUGAAACAGAUGGGUGAAUUUGAUGCAGAAAUCUUCUCUUUCUCCAAAAAAAAGAAAAAACGAAAGGUAGAGAGGAGACAAUGAAGCUCGCUUACCGGUCUUGGCAUUUCACCGGAGAGCUCUGCUUCUAACUGUGAAAUGCGUCUUCUUGUGGGCAAGAGGCAAGGUCUUCAAAAAUGCUCAACUGUGUUCAACAAACUUUCAGGAUCUACUUCAAUUUUCUCAAGAGAAUGGGAAAUAGUGACAAUCAAUUUACACCCAUUUGUUCUACGAGAUAUUCCCACUUUCUCAGGAUGAAAAUCAUCCCACAAAUCAUCAAGAAUGAUGACAUGGUUUUGUAUCACACUCAAUGCUGUCCAUAGCUCCAGCUCUACUCGUCACAUCUUUUCUUUUCGGAAGACAUAAACCAAAAGCUUCGGCAAUGAGAUCCUGCAAUGCGUGAAUGCUCAAUUCUUGUGAAAGAAAAUGUCUGGUUUAUCUUGAAGCUGAUUAUGGAUAUGUGCAGCCAAAGUUGUCUUUCCCACUCCUCCCAUCCCGUAAAUGCCAAUGCAUGAGACCUCACCACUCAACAACCAAGACCAGACAUCCUUCAUAUUUCUUUCAAUAGCUUGACCCACUAGCUUCGUUGUCGGGACUACAUAUCUUUUAGUCCUACGUCGCUUAUGUACAGGCCUUUUAGAAUAGCUUACCGUGUAAAUUCUCAAGUCAUGUUCUCUAUAUAAAUUCUUAACAAAACAUCCCUCGUUGAUGAGGAUGAGAUGUUAUUCGAGAUCAUUUCAAAUGCCUGACAUGUUUUCUCUGUUCUCUGUCUAGGCUCGGGUUCAUCUGGCAUAAGUACAACAUGAGCUCUAGGUUCCUCAACAAUCCCAGUCUCCCCCCUGAUCCAGAUAUCCAUCCAUCCUAGGCUCUCAUCAAAAAGAGGAGGUUCUUCUUGAUCCAUUUCUAAACACCGCGCAGGAGUUGAAGCUGCAUUAAUUGCCUCGUUAUUGCUUGAACUUGGCACGCUCUUAUCUACAGGCCUGUUAGAAGAGCUUCCUCUCUCAGCAACAGACUGCAUCAAUUCCCAAGUCAUGUUCUCUAUACCACUGCUCGACUCAACAAUAUCCUUCAUCAAGGAAGAUGAGAUGUUAUUCAUAUCCAUUUCAAAUGCUUGACCUGCUGGCUCUGUUCCCAAUCCAGUCUCAGGUGCAUCAGGCAUAAGUAUUUUAAAAUUAAAAUAUCAAAAGAUUUAAUUGUUGAAUUGAAUUCAAUGUUUUUUUAAGUGAUUAAAAAGACAAUUUUCCUCCAAGAAGCGAUUGUGUCCCUUUUUGCACCGUUUGAUCUUUCAAAAUCAGGUUUAAAGCCUUCGUGCUCUUAUUUAUUUAGAUCAAUUCUGUUAUUUUCUCUAGAAUGUUUUAUUUUUUAAAAAAAAAAAAAAUUGGACUUUGAGUUGUCUCCUACUAGAGGUAGAUUAAAAAGGCAAUUCUCCUAGGCGCUUAGACUUCUGGCAUAAGAACGACAGGAGCUCUAGGUUCCUCGACAAGCUCAGUCUCCCCCCCAAUCAGAAAACCCUCCCGUCCUCGUUCAUCCGAAAGAGGUUGUUCUUCUUGUUCCAUUUCUAAGCCCCGCAAAGCAGUUGAAGCUGCAUUAAUUCCCUCGUUAUUGCUUGAACUUGGCACACUCUUAUCUAAAAGCAUUUUAGAACAGCUUCCUCUCUCAGUAACAGCCUACAUCAAUUCUAUACCACUGCUUAGCUCAACAUCCCUCGUCAAUGAAGAUGUGAUGUUAUUCAUAUCCGUUUCAAAUGCAUGAACUGCUGGCUGUGGCUCUAUUCCCAAUCCCGUCUCAGGUGCAUCAGGCAUAAGCAUGCUAGGAACCAUGGUCUCCUCAGUAAGCACAAUCUCUCCCCCAGUCAUCCCAUCCAUCCAUGAAAAAUCAUCCAAAAGAUGUUGUCCUUGUUGCAUUUCUAAAUCUUGCGCAGGAUCUGAAUCUGCAGCAACUAUUAUAUUAUUGCUUGAACUUGGCAUACUCGCACGCAUUCUGUCAGGAAGCUUAUCAAACGCUGCUCGCUGAACAUCUGGAGUUACUUUUUCACAAAUUUUAACACCACCCCGUUCAACUCUUGCCAGAUGAUAUUUCAUCCUUGUAGUGGAAGUUCUUCCAGCUAAUGUCUUCCCACAAAAAAUGCACUUCAAUAAACCACCAUCCACUUUCUCAAAAUAACACUGAAAUGGAUCACUUCCUCCAACCAUUUUUUCUUCUGUGUCCCUACCUACAGACAUAACAAAGAACUUUCAGAAAAUUGAAUUAAAAUGGAACUUAAACUAAUUGAAAAAAAGAAGAAGCUAAGUUUAAGAUUAAAAAAAAUUGAUUACAGGUGUUUCACUGUCUAAACCAAAGUCAAGUUAAAUCACUCCAAAGAUCAAAGUGUUCUUCUCUUUUUACUUUCCCAAUAAUUCUACAACUGGUCAUAUCAGUAAUUUAAUAACCAGCAUGUUUCUUUUUUCUUAGAAGAAUCAAACUACAUGAGUUGGAAAAGAAAUGGUGUGAAAUUAGAGCUAAUUAAAAUUAAUCAAACUUAAUUACCUGAGCAGCAGAUGCAGCAAGAUGUUAUCCAAUUAUUUGAUUAAAUCAGAAGAAAGAAGAUGACAGUAAGUGUGUUGGAGACGCGUGAUAGAGCUUCGGCUUGUGUGGUUGUGGAUAAGGAUAGAUUCAGACAGUCAGAGAAGCAGAUGACAGUGAAAAAAAGUAAAAUGGAUUUCUGUCGUUCAUCCGGCGAGGGGUGCUCUAGUGAAGGUGUGGGGGUAGGCGGUGGCUGAUGAUAGUCUCCUCGUGUGGUGGACAGCACGCCAACUUUGCAAACGAUGAGAAAGAGCACGAUCCACCACAAAACAGCAGAAGAGAAAGCAGUAGGCCGAGGGAAGAAAAGGGAGCAGAGUUGACCGAGAGAGAAGUAGAGCUGACCUAGAGAGCGGUAUCUUCACAAAUGGAGAGGUUUGUGUUUUCUGUAGGUGGUUUGUGAAACAUUAUUUGUAAUUUUUUUUAUGAUUUAAAAAUAUUUUAAAAUAUUUUAAAAAAAAAAUUUUACUUCAAAAUAAUAUAUAUUUUAAUGUUUUUAGAUUAUUUUAAUAUACUAAUAUCAAAAAUAAUUUUUUAAAAACUAAAAAAAAAUAUAUUAUUUUACUAUAUUUCUAAAUAAAAAUAUUUUAAAAAAUAAUUAUAAUCAAAUUUUCAAAUAAACUCAUGUAGUUGCUUUCAUUACAAAGACAUUUCACCGUGCGCACUCAAGUUAAUGAUGAAGAAUUGUAGGGCUCUUGGUUAUUACGUGUCAAUGAGUUGUUGGUGUCCCCAACAUUCGAGGUGCCAUCAAAUUUUUUUUCUUUUUCCUUUUUAAAGAUGUGAGCACGAUAACGUGAUUAUUGAAUUGUCGUUGAUUGUUUCCUUAUUAUUUUUGAUAUUUUAUUUUUAAUUUUGUAAUUUUUUAUUUUAUUCUUAUAUUUUAUAUCAAGAUUUUAUUUAUUUUCAGUUUUAUUUUUUAAUUAUAAUUUUUUAUAUUUUUUUAUUUCAGUUUUUAUUCUAUUAAUUUUUAAUUUUUUUAUUUGAUACUUUUAUUUAAAAUUUUAAUCGCUUUCAAUAAAGUUGUCGGUGGUGAGACAUACUCCGACGCAACCUGUGGUUGAAGGACAAAAAUAUAUGGUCUUUCUUUUCUGUUAUUUUCCGUGGUCCGCUACCUUUAAUUUCUUUCAUAGCUGAUCUUUCCCCCCAAAGCUCACUCAGGUCCAUAAGUUUGGCUUUUCCCUUUUCGUAAAAAUACGUAUUUCAUCUUAGAAAAAGAUAAAAAAUAAAGCAUGCAUUCGGGGUAAUUUUUUCCUUUUACGCUGAUCUUUUGUAAUUAUUAUGGUGAUGAGGGAUAUUUAUGUAUUUUAAUUAUAAUUUGUUAUAUGUUUUUUUUUUCAAUCCUUGUUUUUUUAAUUUUUAAUUUUUUUAUUAAAAUGUUUUUUGAUUUCAAUAAAAAAUUUAAGAGGUAAGACACAACUCCGCAGCAACCUGUGCUUCAACGACAAAAAAUACGAGUUUUUUUUUUUUUUCUUUGUCAUUGGUUCUCGAGCCACAAAACAAAGAAUCUUUGUCCUUGUUGAAGCAUUGGUCCGCCACUCUUAAAUUUUUUCACAGCAAGACUUUUCCCGCAUGCACCCUCAGGUCAAAGAUGAAGAAUAUUUGUAGGGUUCUUGGUUAUUCAUUCUUGUACCAAUAAAUCACGGUAUUACAAGGAUGAAAGAAGAAGGAUUAAUGCCAACCUAUUCAUCUCGUUGUUGAUCAACAAGGAAGGAACUUGAUAGAAAUAGACCCUUGAGAUUACUAUCCUAUCCAUCAAAAUCCUUCUAUCCGCCCUGCGAUUCCUUUAAAAUUAUGAGUUACAUUUAUUUUCUUCGCAAUUGAAGUAAGUUAGACUGGAUUGCCUAAAUAUGAUGAAUAAAGGGUUGGAUUUGCACAAUUAUUUACACAGUUUAAUUUGUUGAUUUGAUACAUCUCAAACAUACUAGACCACUAAGUUUACACAUAAUCCAUGAACGUAUCUCACAGGCCACAACAAUUUCCUUCAUUAUUGCUCACUAAUAUUUAUUACUGAAAAUAGUAACUUAACAGUGGUCUCUAGGGUCUUUUCUAGAUGUUUUGGGGCAGUUUAUUGGGGUUUUUGGUGGUCAUAAAUUAAAUUAAGUGAUGCCUAAUCCUUUUUUCUUUUUUUUUUUGUUAAUAGUCGAAAUUUUAUUAAAAAGAAAAAGCUAUAAAGAUAGUAGCCUAACUUACAUCAGAAGAUCAAGUAGAGGAAAGGGAAGCACAAAAACUAUUGCAUGAAACAGGGGAUAGCAACAAAAAAAGAACAAACAAAUCAAAAGAAACUAAUUCCUCCCGACUAAACAUUUGAUCUCCCACCAACAAUCUUUUAGCAAUAUUUUGUUGAAAAAGUGUACCUCUAAUCUUACAGUUUUUUUUUAGUUUUAUUAUCUUCAUUUGUAUUCUAUCAUUUGAGUUUUCAGACUUGUAGGUAAACAUAAAUGUAUCUAGCAACAAUUUCUCGAAGUUUUUUUUAUUGAAUCUAUGAAGAGAAUUUCAAGAAGUUAAUGACGAAUUUAUAUAAAUUCUUGUAUUAAAACAAUCAAAUUAUAUUAAUUUUCAUUGACUUGGUCUUGAUGAUGACUUACCAAAAUAAUUUUCAAUUGUCGAUGCUCCAUAGAGUGUUUAAGGCACGAGCCACUCUCUCCCACGGAAACAAUGAUUUUUAGUCCAAGUUAUCAUGUGCGUGCUUGAAAGUUUUUUUGUCCCGUAAUUGCAGCAUUUUACACCUAGAACGAUCGAUAGCAAAAACAAGCUGUAAUUUUUCUUGCAAAGAUCUGUAAGGUAAUUAUAAGAUCUGGGCUUGGAUUUAGAACUAGAAAAAUCUUCUAAAUGAAUAAUAGAAAAGAAAAGAGAAGAGAAGAGAAGAAAGAAAGCUAAGCUUUACAACUGGAAAAAAACAUUAUCACCCUCCCGAUGACUCCUUACAUAAAUAGCAUGACGUCAUACCUUUACUAUAAGGUAAACGUUCCAAUACCAAAAUACAAAACAAUCCCUAGAAAUCAUAAAAUCGUAAUUUCAUCCCCGGAAUAAUAGCAUAUGGCUAGAAAUCAUGGAACAUUCUCAACUGUGUUCAACAAACUUUCAGGAUCUACUUCAAUUUUCUUAAGAGAACGGGAAAUAGUGAUCGGGAUCCUCGUUAGCUGCGGGCAAUCACCCACAGUAAUUUCUUCGAGAGAAUCGCAAAGAAGUCUUCCAGAAUAAAUGCUUUUCAAAUUUGGUAAUUUCUUCAAUACCAAAACCCUCAAUGUAUCAAAUCUACGAAAAGGAGAGGAAUGCUCAUCACUUCCCAUUAUCUCCUGCAUGUUGUAACAAUCUUCGACUACAAUCACUUCCAAUCGGCGCAACAACCAUGAUUUUGAACGUUCAUUUUGUAUCAACCAAGGAGGGAGCAGCACCUUCAUCCCAUGACAUUUAUGUAUCACUAUCUCUCUGAGAUUGAAAAAGACUAGCUCCGAAGGUGCUUCAAAAAGGGUUUCUAAGAUUAUCAAAUCAUCAAGGUGUAGAAUCUCAAGCUCUUCAAGCCAUCCAAUUGCAUCUGAUGGACCUAAGCUUCUCAUGUUUUGACAACUCACAAAAACUACUUUUGUAAUGAAGUGCGGGAACAGAAAAGUUGCAUGAUUUAGAUCUUCGAGGUGAUAAAAGCAAGCCUCUUUAAUUAACCCUGACUUCGAUCUUGUAUAAUUUAGAUCUUCGAGUGAAGAGAAACAAGGUCGUCCUACAGUAACCUUGCAUGCAACUUAGUGAAAAUCUCCGUCCACACAAAAUAUCGAAAUCAUCUAGAUCACGGAAGUUGCAUUCCAAAGUUUCCAAAUCAUAUAAUGUGGAAACUUCAUCUCCUCUAACUGAGAGAACAACUUCAGAUUUCUGAUGAAGCUUGAGGAACUGUAAUUUUGAGAGUUGGGGUAAAAUACCCGACCGUAAAACACGCACCCCACUUCCAUCAAGAUUAAGAUACCUGAGAUCCUUCAGCCUUUCCAUUCCCUCGGGCAAAUCUUCAAGUCCAGUGUAACUGAGAUCCAACUUCUCCAAUGCCUUAAGCUUUGCUAAUGAUGGUACAUAACUCAGCUUUGCACACCAUCCCAGCAACAAUGCAGUGAGUCUCGUUAGAUGAGAAAUAGAAUCCGGCAACUUCUCUAUAUCUGUGUCGGAAAGAUCAAGAACCUUGAGUCCGAUGAGGUGCUGGAAAAAAGAAUCCUCGACCAAAUCCAAUUUGUAGUUUCUGCAUAACAAUAAUGUUGAGAGACGGGGGCACAUUGGUGAAAAGCCUGUUGGAAUAUUCUCGAUUCUAUUUUCCAUGAGUGAAACUCUUAACAGAUCCUCUCUCCACAAUCUUACACCGGGUAAUUCUGUUAGUUGUGCACCUGCUUGAACCAUAGCUCCCCCACUUUCGUUCAAUAUUUUCCAAGCCAUAUCCCAAAUCAAAUCAUGCAUCUUGACAUAUCUGUAAUCUUCAUCGUCCCUGGAACCUUCUAAUAAGCUGGCAUCUUCAAGUUGAUCAAGCAUGGUAUGGCCCCUAUCAAAUCGUGCAUGCCUUCGCCCCAUUUCUUUGACUAUACCCUCGUCAAUCAAAUACUCUAUCAAGUCCUCUCUCAAGAUGAUCUUGCCUUUUGGAAAUAGUGUGAUAUGUAAGAAGCACUCUUGCAGUGCUGAAGGGUUCAACUGGGCAUAGCUAAAUUCCAACACUCGAAAUACAUUGGCUUCCAUCUCACCUGGUCCAUCUUCUAAUCUUCUCAUUUUAGCAAGGCAUCCUCCAACGAUAUUCACCAUCACUCCCUUCAUGCUUCGAGCCAUUGUCAUGAUUCCAAGGGCAAACCAGCACACUCCUUCACAAUAGACUCUGCGAUCUCAGGAUAAAGGUGCACCACCACGCCCUAAUCUGUAUUUGAACAGAUCCCAAGCCUCACCCUUAGAAAGAGGCUCCACUUUGAUUAUCCUUUGGCAAUCCAUUUUUCGACAUAUCUCCAGUGAUCUCGUUGUGAGAAUCAACUUCCACCCGUCUGUUCUAAGAGGUAUUCCCACUUCAUCAGGAAGAAAAUGACCCCACAAAUUAUCAAGAAUUAAAAAACCUUUUUUUUUCACAUUCAACUCUGUCAACAGCUCCCCAGUUCUCACCAUCGCAUCAUUUUCAUCCAAAGGUUUUAAAUCCAAAACCUCAGCAAUGCGACCCUGCAAUGCAUAAAUGCUAAAAUCUUGUGACAUUGUAAUCCAACGAACAGGAUGAAACAUGCCUCGUUUCUCGUGAAGCUGAUUAUAGAUAUGUGUAGCCAAAGCUGUCUUUCCCACCCCCCCCAUCCCACAAAUGCCAAUGCAUGAGACCUCAUCAUUCAACAACCAGGAGCAGACAUCAUUCAUGUUUCUUUCCAUAGCUUGGCCCACUAGCUUUGUUGUCGGCAAUACAUAACUUCCAGUCCUACGUUUCUUAUGUUCAGGCCUUUUAGAAGAGGGCCGUCUCUCAACAACAGAUUGCAUCAAUUCCGGACUCAUGGUCAGUCUACCAGUUCUUAACUCAAACUCCCUCAUUGAUGAGGAUGAGAUGCUAUUCAAGUUCAUUUCAAAUGACUGAUGUGCUUGCUCUGUUCUUUGUCUAGUCUCGGGUUCAUCUGGCAUAAGAACGACAGGAGCUCUAGGUUCCUCGACAAGCUCAGUCUCCCCCCCAAUCAGAAAACGCUUCCGUCCUCGUUCAUCCGAAAGAGGUUGUUCUUCUUGCUCCAUUUCUAAGCCCCGCAAAGCAGUUGAAGCUGCAUUAAUUCCCUCGUUAUUGCUUGAACUUGGCACACUCUUAUCUACAGGCAUUUUAGAACAGCUUCCUCUCUCAGUAACAGCCUGCAUCAACUCCCGACUCUCUAUACCACUGCUUAGCACAACAUCCCUCGUCAAUGAAGAUGUGAUGUUAUUCAUAUCCGUUUCAAAUGCUUGAACUGCUGGCUCUAUUCCCAAUCCAGUCACAGAUGCAUCGGGCAUAAGCAUGCUAGGAACCAUGGUCUCCUCAGCAAGCCAAAUCUCUUCGCCAGUCAAGCUAUCCAUCCAUGAAAAAUCAUCCAAAAGAGAUUGUCCUUGUUCUUGCAUUUCUAAAUCUUGCGCAGGAUCUGAAUCUGCAGUAACUAUUAUAUUAUUGCUUGAACUUGGCACACUCUUAUCUACAGGCAUUUUAGAACAGCUUCCUCUCUCGGUAACAGCCUGCCUCAAUUCCCAAGUCAUGUUCUCUGUACCACUGCUUAACUCAACAUUUCUCAUCAAUGAAUAUGGGAUGUUAUUCAUAUCCUUUUCAAAUGGUUGAUCUGCUGGCUCUAUUCCCAAUCCAGUCUCGGGUGCAUCAGGCAUAAGCAUGCUAGGAACCAUGGUCUCCUCAGCAAGCCAAAUCUCUUCUCCAGUCAAGCUAUCCAUCGAUGGAAAUUCAUCCAAAAGAGGGUGUCCCUGUUGUUGCAUUUCUAAAUCUUGCGCAGGAUCUGAAUCUGCAGUAACUAUUAUAUUAUUGCUUGAACUUGGCACACUCUUAUCUACAGGCAUUUUAGAACAGCUUCCUCUCUCGGUAACAGCCUGCCUCAAUUCCCAAGUCAUGUUCUCUGUACCACUGCUUAACUCAACAUUUCUCAUCAAUGAAUAUGGGAUGUUAUUCAUAUCCUUUUCAAAUGGUUGAUCUGCUGGCUCUUUUCCCAAUCCAGUCUCGGGUGCA